Molecule: long non-coding RNA, 56295 nt
Filed under: Ananas comosus (pineapple)
Lineage: Eukaryota; Viridiplantae; Streptophyta; Magnoliopsida; Poales; Bromeliaceae
Description: long non-coding RNA (ACOM_LNC028385)
Source: RNAcentral
AAGAACUUAGCUUGUGGUUGGUUCGGGGUUAAGGGGUGGGAUAACCCCUUAACCCUGAUUUUAUUCCCAAACAUGAUUUUAGCCGGGCGGGGUUAACUAACCUCACCCCAAAUGGGCUAACCCGGGAUAGCUCAUUUGAAGUGGGGUUAACUAACCCCAACUAACCCCACCUCACCCUACUACUCCAACCAAAUAAAACACUAUUUUACCCACUAUCAUUCUUAUCUCACCUACUCCAACCAAACACUAUUUUCUUUAAUCCUGAACUAACUCCAAUUCUCAACCAAACACAAAAAUACUCUAACCCCACAUUGACCCUGAACUUAACCAUAUUCCUGGAAUAACUAGUUUUUCCUUAACCUCGAACCAAAAGGUAGCUUAGUGAUCAAGCAAAGUCCAAGUGGAAGUAAGUCGGGUUUUGUUUUUGAACACACGUCAGUGACCGCGAUGCUAAUAGUGGUGGAGAGAGAGAGAGGGUGGGUUGUAAAAUAAUGUUUUGUUCACUCUCGUUUACAUAUGAAUAUAAUAAAGCACAAAUUGAAGAGUUCGAGAGUGCAACGGCGGAGAGGUGGAGGGUGGUGGGUGCCCUCUGGGCAGGGGCCAAUUCUUGGCUCAAUCAUAAAGGAGGAUUUUUUUUUUCAUUUUAAUCCUUAAAAAAUUUAUAAUUGGCCAAAUAACUUGGUAAAAAAUUAAGAAGUUUUAAUUUUUUUUCUUUUUCAAAAUGCCACUUCCUACUAAUAUAAUUCCAAUCACAUAUUAACAAUAUCAUUUAUUCUAACUUUUAUGAAACUUUUAUGAGUAUAAAUCGCAGUAGUAUAAUUUUUAUUUUAUUUUUAAAUUAUCAUAAAAUAUAUUAAUUCAUAGUUAUUGAAUCUAAUCGAAUGGCCAUUCUGUUACCUUUUUUACUUAAAUUAGUGUGUAUCAAAUCCUGCCUUUUAUAAGUAUACCCUAUCUCCUAAUAACUGUCGCCUACAUAAUAUCCAUAUUUUAUCUUAUCUAUUAACUUAUCUAAUAAUAAUUCUCUUUAUACUUCACACUUAUCUAUAUUAUAUACAAAACUAUAUAGAAAUUAAAAAUAUUCCCUAUCAAAGUUUAUGAUUAAUUGGUUAAAAAAUAUAUCAAAUAAAAACGAAUGAUUAUGACCAAUCUAUUAAAAAAUAGCAUUCUUAUCUAUCAAUAUAUCAAAUUCUAUGAAUGGUUAUGUGAGAUCCCUGGUGUUUGGCAGUUGAGGCUUGUCGACAGCUCUGGAGAGUGCUGGGACAAGUCUGAGUCGCGUUGGUGUGAAAUAAACGCAAAACGGACUCUGUGCGACGCGAGACCAGCAUUUAGCAAGAGAACCUGCCAAUAGCAGGUUUCUCUGCUUGCUGUACCGAUACAGCCAGCAGCGUGUACCGGUACACUGCACAGGCUGCGCGCAGACUGCUCUCGGGUUGGCUUCUAGUACCGGUACGUGUGCCCGUGUACCGGUACACCGGGGUAGGUGAGAGGGUGUUUUGGUCUUUUUCCACCUCGUUCGUGUCACCCUUUCCCUCCUUCUCUAUUUAGACGUGUAGAGCAGAGAGAGUAAGAGUUUUCUCUGGCUUCUUCUCCUCUCUCUCUCUAGCUUGGUUCGAUCGUGGAGGAGCUCGGGUGGAGUUCGAGUUUCGCCGACGGCGUGCCGCGGAGCCUUUCGGGCGUGUCUUCGUUGUUGUAGCCCUGCGAGAAGGCCGGGCGAGUGUGGAUUUUCGCUAUUCUCGACGUCACACCGGAGUUCGGAUAGAAGUUGAGGUGAGGUGUUCAUCAAAUUCCUUCAACCGUUGCAAGUCUUUACUACUUCAAGCUCAAGGAUGCUGUUUUUGUAGAAUUUUCACGUCGACCGUCGGUGUUGCGGCUCGUACGCGACGUAGGAGUGUUGGAUUGCGACGAAACUUGGUUCGUUGGAUUCAGGACUUCGAGAGAAAUCCACGAAGCCCAAGAUUGCUAAUUUUCGCGAAGGUUAGCUUGGUUGAAACUUUAUUUCUCUCUGCUACUGCUGUUUUGAGCAGAAUUAGUGUUUAUUGGGGGUUUCUAUGUCUAGAUCCUUGGAGCGUUGUUGUUGCUGGUUCGGUGUGUUGCAGCCGAGCUUGGCAGGGACUCCGGUGACCUUCUUCGCUGUCGGGGAUUAGCUUUUGAGGUGGGUUUUCAUCGGGUUUACUCCUAAGUAGAGAUCAGUAAAUAUGUAUAGUUUCCGAUUGUUUAUACUUCGUACUAGCUUAAAUUCAUUGAGUAGCAUAUUGGCUGAAAUCUAAAUUUGAAGUAUGUGUAGAAUCUAGUUAAACUAUACAUGUUGGACUUGGAAAUGAAAUUAGGAGAAAACCGGCGAUUUGGACCUGUCACCUGUUUACACCACCUGAUUUAGCUCUAGGAGCCGUUAUAAAUUUGUAUCGUCGCAGUAUUGGUGUGAUGGAUACCCCAGGUAGUUUAGAGUUCAGUUACGCUCAUACUAGGAUGCCUAGCGUAUUUUUACAGUAGCGUUCAGACUGUUCCGAACUAUUGGGUGCCGUCGGGGUUGACGGUGGACCCAUAUCGCCGUUUUGGCGUCAGGUUGUGCCGAGGGCACGUGACCUGUUGGUUGUUAGACCAGUUGGACCCUAUUACUUGACUUUGGCUUGUGAGAGCCUGAUUGAGCUCGACAGAGAUACGCUACAUACUCGAUUGGGUACCUCCCACGAGUGCCACUCCGGAGACGGGCGCUGUGCUUUCGCUUUGGUGUCGUUCAUUGCCAGUUGGACUUGCUCUCCACGGACUUGUUAGUGUGGAGGUAGCUGGAUAACCCCAACUGGGCGGGACGGGUGUAUUCAUAGUCCCUGGGACGGGUAUGUUUACAGUCCCUAAAGAGAUUGGGUUAGGAUUGACAUUUCUACAGUAGGUUAGUUUUGAGCAUGAUAGUGUAAUAACUCGUAGCUGUAGAUUUUAUUCCAGCAUUUAUUACUAUCUUCGCUCCCUUCUGUAGACUUAGUGGGUGGACCGAUGAUAUUGAGGGCGGCACCCACUGAGAACUACUUGUUUUACAGUAGUUCUCAUGGCCUAUUGUUACCCCGUUUUUGCAGAGUCAUCGUCUUCGGCUGCUGCCGCUGUUGCCGAUCUGGAUCGAGGCAGGGCGUCGCGAGUUAAAGCCCUACCAGAUGAGCCGAGCUAGAGGUGCCCCUGCAGCAGGUAGUUGUUUUGGUUGGAAUUCAUGUACAUACAGACGUUUAACUCGCCAGUGCGAGUAGUAUUGUAUCUGGGUUUUGGUGUAUGUAUAUGGAAAUCGAUUUGUUUUUGUUACUGGUUCUUCUAGCAGCUCUAUACUACUGUUUGUAGUAUUGCAUGUUUUACAGGUACAGCUAUCGCUUCGUAUACAGGAAAAAUUUUUUGUAUACGGCGGAUUUGUCGGCGUGCCCGGGGAACGAUAAUCCGGGGCAUAACAGGUUAUGAUUAAUUUGUUAAAAAAUAUUUCAAAUAAAAACAGACGAUUAUGAUCAAUCUAUUUAAAAAAUAAUAUUUCUAUCCAUAAAUUUUACAUUAAAAUUAAAAUUUGAAUUCAAAUGAUGAAUUGAGUUUAAUUUUGGAUAUCAAAUUUUGAAUGAAUAAUUAAACAAUUUUAAUUACAGUAGAUCAAAAUUAAAUUUUAACAAAUUUACAUUUAUAAUUUUUGGAUAUCAAAUUUGAAUUUAUAAUUAAAAUAUAUAAUUAUGGUGAAUCAAAAUUAAAUUUUAAAUUUCAAUGUAAAUCUGAAUUAAAUUUUGACGCUUUUAGUUUAAACAACAUACUUAAAUUUUAAAUUGAUCAAAAUUUAAAAAAAUAUAUAAAAAUAUUUAAUGUAUAUAUUAAAAAAAAUAUAGAAUAUUGUGGAUAUUUUUUAAUAAAAUAUAACAUAUAAAUUUAUAAAAUAUAAUUUUUAUUGUUAACUUUUGAAUAAAUGUGAUAUAAAAAUUUGUAUUGAUUUGAAAUAAAUUAAAAUAAUUUUUACGUGCAUUUGUACGUACACUCAGCUAGUUUAAUCUAAUAACCGUGUUUCAUCCAACUGAUUGUUAGGGCAUAAAAAUAAUCGAAAGAUGGUCAAUCAUUUACCGUUUUUAAUGAAAUUUAUAAGACAGUAAAUUAUUCAUCAUAUUUUUCUUUUCAAUAAGAAACGGCAAAUGAAUCAUUCACCACUUUUUAAAGGCGGUGAACGAUUCACUGUUUUUCUCAGUUUAGUUGGUCAAAUAAAAUUUUGAAGAGAUUAUUUCAUAAAUUAGAAAAUUUAUUGAUUAAAUAAUAUAUAUAAUUUUAUUUAUACAUGCUUAACUUUCAAUUAAUUUUUCUAUAUUAUUCCAUUCAAAAAACCUAAGAAUUUUGUUAAAUCUAACGGUAAUUCAAUUGGUGAUUUAAUUUCUUAUUUUUUAAAAUUGUAACAAUCAAUAACUAUUAGCAGACCGAGCUAUUAAUUUUUAUAAUUAAACAAAGUUAUUAAAUUUAGUGUAUUCUUUUACUUAGCUAAAUAAAAUCAUUCACCCAAAAUAAUUAGAAGCUGGAAAGGUACUACAUAAAAAAGAAAAAUUUAGAGUUGAAGGACAUAUUUCAAAAACGCUAAAAAUAAGAGCUUAUUAAUACAUUUUUACCUAAACCUUUCACGCUAAAUCCUAAAACUUAAAAAGCGGAUGUAGAUUUAGCAUUUCUCUAAAGAGCAAUGCAAUAAAUAAACGAUGGCCAAGCUCAGUUUAGGCACGGCACUGUCCCUACCAAGGAAGAGAGAGAUUUUCUUUUUAAUCAACAUAUCAAUAAUAUAUUAUUAUUUUAUUUUUUUUAAUUGAUUCUAAUAAAAAUUAAAUUAAUUUUUUUUUCCAAAAAAAAAAGACUAGAUUGAAUUUUUUAAAAAAAUAAAACUAGACGCGACAUUAAUUCUCUCUACCACAACUUCUUAGAGGCGUAGUACAUAAGAUCGAUGUACUUGUAUACUCAGUACAGACAACAAUUCUCCCAGUUAAAGUGGGGAACGGAACUUUCUAGUUGCAGUGGAAACCUCGAUGCUGCCGCAGCUCUGUUAAAACCAGGGGUGGAAACGGCCGAGCUCGAGAGAGCUUAUCUCGGCUCAAAUUCGAUUUAAAAUUUAUUUCAAGUCUAAAUUUAAGUUCAAAUUUGGAUUGAAAUUAAUUCGAGCCGAGCUCGAGCGAGCCUAAUUUCGAGUCGAGUGAGCUCGAGCCCUAAACAAGCUGCUUAAAAUUCUCAACAUCAUACAAUCAAUGGUUUAAUUUGUAUAGAAUAUUAUCUAUAAUUUGAUACAAAAAUAUGUCUAAUAGUUCAAAGUACAAAAUAAUUAUAUGAAAUAUAUAUAAUAUUAUAAUAUGGAGAAAAAUAAUUUAUGAGUUAAAUAUCUAAUCUUUUCAGCGUCACAUGUCUUUUCUUCCGCCUUCAAUCUUUAUAUUAUUCAUUUUUAUUUAUGCGGUCNCUAAUCUUUUCAGCCUCACAUGUCUUUUCUUCCGCCUUCAAUCUUUAUAUUAUUCAUUUUUAUUUAUGCGGUCAAAAAUAAAUAAAUUAUAUAGAUAAAUAUUGAAUUAAACUAUCCAAUCAUAUAAACUAAAAUUAAAAUUUUAUAUAAAUAAUAAUUUUUUACUUUAAAAAUAUUCUAUAUAUUUUCUCAAGCAUACAAUUAAUAGCAAGGUAGGCGACGGCGGGCAUAUACUGUUACUUGGUAAUUUGGAGGGCUUCCGGUUUUGCCACAGACAGAAAAAGAAAAAGAGAGAAACAUAUUGAAAAUUUAGAGUUCUGUGAAAGAAAGAAAGAAAGUAAAAAUAUAUAAAUUUAGUAAAAUUUUGAUCUUUUAUUUGUCUAUUGAGUUUGUUUUUAUGGGCCAACAACAUUGGCCUUCGAUAAUUAAUAUUCCUUUUUUUAUCAAUUCUGUAAGAGCUAGAUCUUUCUGAAUUAGCAUUACAUCCAGAUGCAUCUCUCCUCUUUGAAUCGCGGAUAUAGCAAUUUCCUUUGGAUUUAUCAGUCUAAGUAAGAGACAAUAUACCUUGAUAUUAUUGAUCAUUCUUUGGUUCAAGGAGUCAUCCCAUCUUAAUUGAAAAAGGAAAUAUUUUUUAAGGAAGAAAUCUAGUUCUGCUUCCUUGUUUUUCUUGGAUUGUUUUUUCUUUUUACCUUUUUUAAUGGUAAUGUCUGAUCUCGCGUAAUUCUCUUCAAUAUCUUUUUUUUUGUUUUCUUUUCGUAUAUCUGAUACAAAAUUUACUUGGUCCUGUUGUUCAUUUUUUUGAAGCCCCUUUGACAUCUCUUCAUCUGCAAAGAAUUCUCGACGUGAAAACACAGAGACAAAGGGCUGAUCCUUGAAUAGGAAAAAGAAUGGAUCCGCAGGGUCCCACUCAGAUUAUUCACUCGGCCUAUAUAUAAUUAAAAUAUUAUAUAUAUAUAUAUAUAUAUAUAUAUAUAUAUAUAGUGUAGAACUACUAUGCUAUCGAAAAUAUAGAGAUUUGAUGUUUCCGAAUUUUUGACUCUUUAAUUAAGAAUUGUAUGGUUGGGCUGAUUGCGAUCCCCGUAGGAUUAAAUAAUAACCCUAGGAUUGAGUGGUAUCUACAAGGUAAUAAUAGUAUUAAUCCGAAGAUAAGAAAUAAUUAAAAGGGUUGAUUUAAGAGUCAAAAAAUUAAAAGCACCUAGCUCUACUCUAUAUAUAUAUAUAUAUAUAUAUAUAUUCGAGCUUUUCGAGCUUUUCGAGCCUAAUUCGAACGAGCCGAGUAAUACUCAAGCUCGGCUUGAAAUGAAUUUCGAGCCUUUUUUUUUGUUCAAGCUCGGCUAAUUUAAUUUCGAGUCGAGCUCGAGCGAGCCAAAUAUCGAGUCGAACGCGAGCCGGCUCACUCAUUUACCAGCCCUAGGUAAAACCAACCAUUUGCUAUUGAAAGCUCUUCCUUUUGUCUCUCAUCACUCACUCUCCACUGCUACUUGGAUACUGCUGAACAAAUCAUUCAUUAAACUUUUCAAACUAAAACCACAAAGAAAUAUUAGGCAACAACAUUGAAAUUAAACCCAAAUAUAGAUUCUAAUUUAAAUCUAAUUCAAAUUCAAAGGCUACCCACUUGGCGAAAACUGGAGGGACCGAACUUUGUCGAUCAUUUGAAGCUGCGGGUAGUUGAAAGUGCCACUAGAGUGCAAAUUGAUUGGAUAACAAUUACUUCGCAGUUCGUUUUCUCCGUGCAGAUUGAACUUGUGGUCGAUCUGAAGGAAAAGGGAUGAUUAGAACGACGGAGCCAUAGAUAUAAUUGAAGCAAUUUUAAUACCUUUGCUCUUAUUCUUCGGUUCAGCUCUAGUUUGAAUGUCGCCGGGACUUGUUGGUCCGUUCCGUUUGAGCUCGCUUUGUCCACCAAUUCGUGCUCGCUCUGCUUCGAGCCUGAGCAACUCAGACUCAAAUCAAGAUCGCGCUCAAAGCGAUCAGCUGCUGCAAAUGCUUAAUAUGAACAAAUUAUAGUACGACAAACUUUGUAAGAGAAGAAAAAUAAGCUAAAACGUCCAAGGAAAUGAGUAGGCAUCAGGAACUCACGAGACAGGGGGAGAUCGUUUUCGUAGAUGGAAAGAUCGAAGUUGGUGAUCGCAUCGCGCCCAUUGCAGUUAAUUGCGGCUAUAUCAUAUGCCCUGAAAAUGAAAUGGCCAAAUCUGUAAAAUUUAGAGCAAAAUUGGAAGUGAUUGAUGGAGAAAUGAAGGUACCGAGCAGCUUCUACUUCAGUGUCAUAGAGGCCAAGAUACAUGUAUCUGCUCAAAACCAGCAUGUAGCCUAUAAGAAAACAUUCUCAUACAUUGAAAGAAACAGAUUAAAAACCCAAAACAAAAAAAAAAAAAAAAUGGUUGGAAAUAUUUUACUUUUUCUCCAAUAGUUGGCCAAGUCUAGCCUCCCAUUUUCCACAUUUGUGCAAGGAAACCCCGCGAAACUUCGAGCUUCCUCUCGACGAUCCGGUGCUCUGUCGCCGGAGUAGCUGAACAAACUCCUCCUUAGCGAGAUUGCUCAUCUACCACCAAUUACUUACUCUUGUUAAAUCAUACUUUUGCCCAUUAUAAGAACAAAUAAACUACUUCAUUCAGUAAGAGCUCUUUUAGUUCACCUUUUUCAGAUCCUCCUCAUAAUCUUCUGCAUUGAAAUUUAUGUCUGCAUCGACCCCACGAAACUUGAUUGCGGCGCGAUCAUACGCCCUAAAAUUUGAGAAAAAAGAAAAUGUAAUUACUCAGUUAGAAUCAGUGAAUAAAAGUAUUUAUGAUCCAUAUCCAUAACAGUGAGUGAGAAGACUAGUGAAGUUUGUUUAACUACCUUGCUGCAGCAUAUGCAGUGUCAAAUCCACCUGGGAGAAACCCAAAAACCCAAUGCUCAAAAACAUCAUCAUCACACAAGACACUUGUAAAUUCAAGUAAUGUAAUGUAACUCAUUAAAUACAACAAAGUGUGACAUUUACAGCAUACCCAAAUAGACUUGCUUUCCGCAAUCCCUGCAUUGAAUAGAAGACUGAGAAUUAUUAGCACGGCACUCUAACCAACCGAGCUAUGAGAGGAAAGUAUGUACGUUUGGUAUAAUAUGAUGCGGGAUUACCAUAUAUGCGAUUCCCACCGGCCAGUUCUGCGAUAAAAGGUGACGCCGCGGUAUUGGGAGCUCCGCGACCGGGGUCCCCGCCGGCUCUUCUUCGCGGGCUGUGGCGGCUCCGCCAUCCGGUGGUGGUGAUGCGUCAUUGCCGACGCAUCCCGAGCUCUCCUCUCCUUCGACGCGGCCAUCGGAAAGAAAUCGCGGGUAACUAGAGCAGCCGAGGGGCUGCUUCUGUCGACGUGGCCGCUGCGGCAGCGGCCGGAGAUUGAGAAGCCGAAGAUCUUAUCGUCCUUCUCUUCUCCUUGUGCUCCCCCCUCUAUGGCCAUUGCCAUUCCGUUUAGGUCCCACAUCUCUCUCUUGCUCACUGCAGUGGCUUCCUCUUUCUCCAUCCCAGGAACGAGCAAGCGCUUUUUGGUGCUUCCUAUAUUGCUAAAAAGGAACAGUACUCCUUUUAUUAGUCCUUUAUCUCCUUCUUUCGCUUGUAAAAUCUACUCAUACAUGCCAUGCGUUUCUUUCUAAGUUUGCCAAACUUGAUCUAAGCAAAGAUCUAAAAGGAGGGAGCUCUCACUGCCUUUUUGUACGUAUCCUUUGAGGAGAAUGGCAAAAAUCCAAUCUCAACGACCUCUUUUGGGUCUCUCUCUCUAUAUGUUAUUAGUAUGAAACACACACACACACACACACACACACACACACACACAAUUAAUCAUUUGGGUGAGGCUGUAGCACCCAUAGCACUUUUCUCUGUUGCUAAAAGAAGCCUCUACCAAGCUUCCUAAGUUGGUGGGGGUAAUUGGAUUAUUGGAGGGGGUGGGAAUAUAGAGGGAGUAUCCUAUUUGCUAUCCUUUUGCUUUUUCUCCCUCUUCCCACGUUAAUCAAAUCGAAAAGCAAGAAAAAUGUGUUCCCUCACUACUAAAGCAAUAUCUUGGAACAGUACUCUACUACAGGAAAUAGAUUGAUCACUAUUCUCUAACCCCUACAACCUAUUAAUAAGGACAAACCCAUGCAGCAGCACCUCAUCUAUUAAUCUAUUAACCUUUAACCUAUCUAUUAUCUAUUAAAUAAUAUGAAUCCGUAAUACUUUUUUACCACGUGGCACCCCCUCCUUCACCAUCUGCUCCUUUUCUCUCCUUUUUUUAUUGUUGGUAACUGUUACCUCCAAUAAAUAAAUAAAUUUAUUCUACCCUUGCCGUUACAUCCCUCCACUACUUGGAGCAUUCAUUUUCUUUCAAUUUAAGCGUUUCUAACUUUGCAUUUUGGCAUAGUGCUGUGGUGUUAAAAAGCUUUGAUUACGGAGCUACUGUGGAUAGCACAAAUUUGCGGUUGCGAAACCCACGGCCGCGGUCAACGUGGGGAAGGGAGUGGGCCCCCGCCCCUACGCGGGCUUCUUUUCGUACCACUACGCCGCCUCCGAGACGCAGCUCCGCGACGACCCCAGCGUGGCGCUCUUCUUCCUGGAGAAGGACCUCCGCCCGGGGAAGAAGAUGACGCUCCACUUCCCGGAAGUUGCUUCUGGCCCCGCUUUCCUCCCCCGGAAAGAAGCCGACGCGAUCCCGCUCUCCGUCGAGAAGCUUCCGGAAGUCCUCGGCAGGUUCGGGAUCCAGCUAGACUCCGUCGAGGCCCGGUGGAUGCGGAAGACGGCCCGAGAGUGCCAGGAGCCGGCGGUCGGCGGGGAGAAGAAGUUCUGCGCCACGUCGCUCGAGUCCAUGGUCGACUUCAGCACGUUGAGCUUCGGGACGCGCGACAUGCGGGCGGUGUCCACCACCGUCGCUAAGAAGGUUUUUCUCAAAAAAAUCUUAAACUAUAAGAAAACAAUAUUUUUCUGUAAAGUGAAAUAUAGAUUUGAAUUAAAUAGAUAAAAUCACAAGAAAAGUACCGGAUCUUUCUAAAUUUUGGUCUGACUAUACAUAGUCAUUUAAUACUUAAAAAGCUCAUGCUUUUUCAUUUUUCUUAAAAUGGUAAAGAUGAAUUUAGAAAUUAUUUAAAUUUUUUAUAUACUUGUUAAUGAUUAAAAUUAGUAAAUUUGGAUUCAGUUGGACCAUUGCACUCAGCUUAAUUUCAGGAGUACAAGUAGCAAUUUCUCAUUGAAAUAUAUUAAAAAUUAAUUUAUGUGCACUUUCUUUUAUUUUAUUUAAAUUAUAGAUGAUUACAUGUAGUUAGCAAUUCUAAAUUCAUAGGAAUUUGACUGUUUUCUCAAAAUUAAAUUAGACAGAAAAGAUUCAGCUGGUCAGACAGUCCAAGCUUAGAUACAUACAAAACAUCUGGUUAACAAUGUUUAAAUAUUUUAUAUUUGAUGGCAGGGUGUGCCGAAGUAGGAGUACACUAUUGUGCAGUCCGGCAUCUAUAAACUGGCAGGGGACGAGCUGGUGGCAUGCCACGUGGAGACGUAUGCGUACGCGGUCUUCUAUUGCUACCUGACGGGAUCAACGAGGGCGUACAUGGUGAAGAUGGUCGGGAAAGACGGGGCGGCAGUUGACGCCGCAGCGGUUUGCCACGCCGACACGGCAGCGUGGAACCCGAAACACCUGGCGUUCCAGGUGCUCAAGGUGAAGCCCGGGACCGUGCCCAUUUGCCACUUCCUCCCGCAAGACCAUGUUGUGUGGACCCGCCGCACUAAGGAGGAUGUGUGUACAGGAUUGUGGAUUGAGAGUGAGAAAGUAAGCAGCAAACGGCUCGCUUAUGCUGUUGCGUACCUAACCGCGGUGAGAAGCUAGGCUAACCAGACCCUAAAGUGAUUGAUUUUUUUUAUGCAGCAGGAGCAGAUAGAUAGCUUCAUUCCAAUUGAGAUGGGUAUAGUGAGCAAGCAGCCGACAAAUUACUUCUGCAAGACUCUGACGGCAAGCGAUACGAGUACUCACGCGGGAUUCUCUGUUCCCCGUCGUGUUGCUGAGAAGGUGUUUCCUCCCUUGGUAUGUUAGGAUUCAGCAAAUUACAUGAAUUUUUUUGUCAAGAUUUAUUGGUUGUGGAGUAUUUAUUAUAAGCUUAUGAAGAAAUUGACCCUGGUGUUGGUUGUAGGAUUUCACUCAGCAGCCACCAGCGCAGGAGCUCAUUGCGCGUGAUCUUCAUGAUGUUGAAUGGAAGUUCAAGCACAUCUUUCGAGAUAAGGAGAAGGUAGGGAAAUAGAUCCGAGCCGUGGUUGAGGUAUUGGAAAGAAUGAAUGUUGAUGCACAUAAGGGAUUAGUGUAACAUCUUCAGGAGUCAGUGCUUGUAUAGCACAUAGAUAAAUUGGUUAUAGAUGUUAAGAGUAGUGCUUACUUAGUUUGAUGCCCAUAGAUGUUAGAUAAGAUGGAUACAAACGCCAAAUUAUGUAUUCAGGCAUGUAGCAUUUUUAUGGUCGGAAAGAAUUGAUUCAAUGUCUCAUGAUAUAGGUUGGGUUCGAAGGUAAUUAGAUAAGGCAUUUCUUUGAUUCAAUACAGUGAAAAAAGUUGAUGUUCUUGAAUAUAUGAGAGGCCCAAGGAAUUGACAAUAAUAUAACAAUAGAGUUGUAAGUAAGCAAGAUUCUCUAUUAAAGAAAUUUUGUUGAAUGAGGACUCUUCUUGAAUGGUUUAACAGAAUAUAUUCUGUGGCAUGAACAGUUAUAAGAGAGAUGUUGUUUCUCACCUUUGAUCGGGAUUAACUGCCAAAACUAUCUUCUUCUUUGAACCAUAGAAUGAGUAAUUUGGAUCAUCAAUUUGAGCAACCCGCCGACCUUAAUGUGAAUUCUGGGACAGAAUGCAUUGUUUAUGCCCUUAUCAAAUGUAUUUUUACAUGUACAUAUGAACGUGUGCAUGCACACAUGUAAAUUGUUGUUUGGCGUUCCAACAUCCCUUUUCUUUUCAAAAUAGUAAAACUUCUAGCAGUGGUUGUGACGCACUGGACCUCUGCAAAGUGUGAGGUUCGAGUGUUUGGACAGUGUCCCGAGUUUUUCCAGACUUUCUGGUGGGUCGUUGACAGUGUUCCGACCUAUGGCUCGCAUCCCGAGAAUCGUAGUAUUUUAUGUAGCGCUAAGGUCACUAAAGAGUUGGACUUAGGCUACCCUCGGAUUGCAUUCUGCACAAGGUGUACCGGUACACUCUUGAUGGCUGUACCGGUACACACUUUGUACCGGUACACUCUUGAUGGUUGUACCGGUACACUUGUGGCAAAUUACGAACCCGAGCCUCGGGUUUGCAUUUUCGUAGGAUGUGUACCGGUACACUUUCCCGUGUACCGGUACACUUUGGCAGAAUCUGAACAGUUUGUUCUGCAGGGGGUUUUUCGCAAUUGUGGGCUUCUUAUAACAGCACCCACGCCCCUAGGGCUCUCCCCUGGGCUGAGAAGAGUGGAGAACCAGGUAGGGCACCUCUCCCCUUCACCCCCUUUGGAUUUGAUCUCUUUUUAGCUUGGGAUUUAAGUGUUGAUCCUUCUCUUUUCCCUUUUCUUUGCUUUUCCACCAUUGUGAAGCUUGGAGCUUGGUCUUGGUGGAUUGUUGAGGGAAGAUCUUGGGAUUUCAAGAGUUAGAGCUUAGAUUGAAGCUUCUAAGAGGUAAUCCACUUAUUCUCUCCCUUUAGAUUGGAUUUUUAUUGAUGGAUUCAAGAUGAAACCCUAGUUUUGAGACUUAGGGCUUGUUUUUGGGUAUUUUGAACCUAGGGCUUUUGGGGCCAAAUUAGUUGGUUUAGAACCUUCCUUGGGCUUGGAUUGGAAGGAUUCUAGCUCUCUUUUGGAGCUUAGGAGAAGAUUUCUACUCUUGAGGUAAGUUUUGGCCCUUUUUGCUUCUAGGUUAAUGUUUGAUAUUAUAUGAUGGUCGUAAUGCCCUCGUAUCUCUUCGCUGAUUACUUUUAGGGUAUUUUGAGACUCGGGGACAACUUUGUUCUGCGAAACGAGGCUCUACGCGACGGUUCGGUGGGUUUGACCUAGCCACACAAUGAGAAAUUCUCAUUUGUGCUUAAUUAAGUAUCGUUAAAUGAAAAAGCAUGCAUAUUCUUGUUAUAUGUAUUUAUUGUGAAUUUUAGAAUGCUCAAAAGGCCUAUGUUGUAUAUAAUGAAAUUUUGGACCUCUAUGGAGUAGAGAGUAACUUGGUAGGUCUAUGGUUGCAUUUAGCGUUCAAUUUGAGACUUGAUUUCAAGCUUCUAUAGUGUAAAUGAGUUUUGAUUCAUGCAUUUAAACUUAAGUUUAUUUGAGACAUGAAAGAUGACAAAAUUGCCAUAUAGAGGUAUUGAGCUAGAAUGUAUGUGAACUAGAGAGCUAAUGUCAUCAAGCGGCAUUGAGCUCGGGACAUGUGUGAACCUAGUGGAUAGGGCCAUUGAGGAAUGUAAAACAUGCUUAAUUAUUAAAUGUCUAAGUGUUAUAAAGGGGCACUAGACCUAGAGAAGGUUGGGACUUCACUUGUGACUUAGAACUAGAUCUUCGAGAUGCUAGUGACUAUACCAUGUUAGAGACAUGAGGGUUGGAUACUUGAGCCAUCGACUACGCUUGUUUGCCAUUUGUGCUCAUUCGCACAUGCUUGUGAGGAUCGCUCCCUACAAGCCGGCACUCCGGAGUUAGCCUACGCGACCUAUGUUCGCUGGUGCGAUAUUGAGGAGCCUACGGGGUCGAGUGGGACAGACACAUUCCAAGACUAGGGAUGUUGGGCUACCACAGGUAUUUAGGCGGCACAAGCUGGACUACCUUGGGUAGGUCCUUAAAUUGGAAAUGAAAAUCGACACGGUGUUGAAUAUGAACAAUCACUACUAGAUAGGAUUAGUAGUUGGAUUACUUGGACACGCUCAUGAUAUAGCAUUGGUACAUUUAGUAUACUUGCCGGUUUCAUUAUUGCAUCGUAGUAUACUCGGUUGUUUGGAUAGAGUUUACCCUUAUGCAUUGACAUAUUGCAUCGUGAAGUUUACUUGUUUAUUAUGUUGAGACAUAUUAGUAUGCAUCGGAUAUAUUACCUUACGAUAGCGUAGAUGUACAUCACCAUGACAUCAUGCUUAUUGGAGACAUAGUAGUAUAGCAUUUCAUUCAUGCUUUCUUUCAGCAGUUUUCGUGUUCGCUAUUUAUUGCAUAUUACUAUAUGUCGUUACUUACCCUUUUCUUUUGGGGCCUAGUGGUGCUUUGAGCUGAGGUCAGUAAUUGCCCACUGGAAACUAUAAAUUAUAGUUCUCACGCCCUCUUUUUCUCGAUGUUUUUCAGAGCCUUCCACGCAGGGUGAGGCCAGGGAUCGCGGGAAGGGAGUUGCUUCGAGCGUAGCUUCUUCGAGGACGAGUUGCUAGGUGUCUACCUCUCGAGUUCUUAUUUUAUUUGCGAGAAGUUGAGGGUCUUACCAUGUAUUAGAGACCACCAUUUUUUACUGGUGACAGAUAUUGUAUUACUUAUGAUUUCUCUUAUUAUCUAGCUUUACUUCUUUGCCUGGUGUAGAUGUUAGAACUUUAUUCGCUCUGAUAUCAUUAGUUGCUAGUUAUUUCACUUCUUCUAUUGUUCUAUUACUUGCUUUUACUUCCGCUUUUAUUGUAACGCCUAUAUGUGUAGACACAUGCGGUCUGGGCACGCUACCGGGAGGGCUCCGCCGUCCCGGGGCGUGACAGUGUAAAGUUGGGUAAUGGAGUAAACUGUUGCAUCCAGUUCUCCAAUGUUAUAUGAUUCUUCAUAAACAACAUACCCCAUGUAUCCAUCAUUGUUCCCCCUGAGGCUCAAGCGUCCUUGGCAGCCUGGAGCCAUAUUCUCAAGGUUUGUUUAUUGUCUAUUGGCCGGUAAUUAUCGAUUCCACUGUCUUUCUUAAUUUUUCAGGCUAAGUACAGUUUGUUCUUAUUAAGCUGUACUAUGCAUGCAUUGUGAAACUCUUUAUCGAAACCUACAAUUUUAUCAAGUUGAGUUCUUUACCAACAGAAAAUUAAUUUUCGGUAUUAUUUAUUCUUUUUUUUAACUAUAUUUCAUACUUUCAUGUCUUUUUCUUUUAGAGAAUAAAGAACUCGAGAGCAAUUCUCCAGAUGUUUCUAAGAUGGGUAGUGGAGAACGAGGCAUUCAGCCUUUUAAUUUCUGCCUUUUGGUGUGAACCCUCGGUUCAACAUAGUCAGAACCAUCACUGCGGAGAAUGAGCUUAAUCAAAUGCUAUGCUGUUACUCCAUUUUAAAUAUUAAAUGCCACUUUCAAUAAAUGAUCCUCCAAUAUAAUUGAUAGCCACUGCAAGCAAUGAAUGCUUCUAGAUAUGGUAGACAUAAAUUGAAAUAUGGUCUUCUCAUAUUUUGGUGAUGCUUUUACUGUCUACAAUUAGUUAGUAUUUUGGGUUUCUUUUUAAGACUUCUAAAAUUAAGUUUUUAUUAUUACUGUAGUAUGAUAGUUUGUUUAUUAAUUUACUUCUUUGUUAUGUGAAAUAACAUAUAUUCUACGAUUGUUCUAUUUUUGUUCUAUUGCUUCUGCUAAUUUAUAACAAUAAAUUUGUGACUUUUUUAUUUCCAGCAUACCUAGAUUUGAAAUGUGUAGCUGCUGUAGUAUUAAGUUUAAUCUUUAAGUAGCCUGGUUAUUUCAUUGUUAUUAAUUUAGGCAUCUAUAUAUUAGUUCAAAAUAGAUUUACAAUAAUUAUAAAUUAAUUCAAAUUCCCUUAGUUAGAGUCUUUUCUUAUUUUUACAUCAGAUUUGUUUCAGCAAAAUUUAUUAUUUAGUAGGGACAACAAUUAAAUUAAAGUCUUUUCUUAUUUUUUUGCAGUAAAGUCUUUCUAAGGAGAAAAAAAAAAACUAUAAUUUUACUUCAACAAUAGCUACUCGCUGCAACGUGCGAGUACCUACACUAGUAUAUAUGAUUCUUCAAUUUUUUUGCCACGUGGCAGUUUAUUCUUAAUCCUCAUAAAAAUCUAAUUUAAACCAUCUAAUAUAUUUUUAUUUAAGUCUUUAAACUAAGAAAGAAAAAUUUGCACACCAAGAAGUUCUUCUAAUUCACUCUCAUUAAUUAUUAUAAUUCUAACGUGCAAUAACCCACUACUAUGAAGCACAUUACAGUCUUUAAAAUCCAAUUUAAGCCGCCUAAUAUAUUUUUAUUUAAACCUUUAAAUUAAAAAUAAAAGAUUUGCAUAUCAAGAAGUUCUUCUGAUCCACUCUUAUUGAUGAUUAUAAUUCUAACGUGUAACACCCACUACCAAGAAGCACUCUACCCUCAUUAAAAUCCAAUUUAAGCCAUAUAAUAUAUUUUUAUUUAAGCCUUUAAACUAAAAAUGAAAGAUUUGCAUACCAAAAAACUCUUCUAAUUCACUCUUAUUAACCAUUAUAAUUCAAACGUACAACACCCACUACCAUGAAGCAUUAAAAUUCAAACUAUAACUUAAUCACUAAUUACAUACAUUUCAAUGGCCUUUUAGAUUCUUAUUACAUAAUUAAUUAAUUAAUUAACUACGUUAACCAUCAAAAUUAUAUAUAUAUAUAUCUAAUCUAACCAUAAGAAUCAUUAUAGUUCUAACAUGCAAUACCCACUACCACGAGACAUUAAAAGCCGAGAUAUAACUAAACCACAAUUUAUAUACGUUUUUGCGGCCCUUUAGAUUCUCAUUACAUGACUAAUUGAUUAAUUGAUGAAUUAACUACGUUAAUCAUCAAAACUAUAUAUCUAAUCUAAUAUAAUAAUUAUAUUGCUGAUCUCGCCAUUGACACGUGCGGUAUGAGUCGGAUUACACAGCGACAGAGGAAGAGGUGGACAAAGCUGAGGUGCUAGCGUGGGUGGCGGAGGAUGACGAUCUUGGUGGCGGCGGCAGAGGCGGCGGCUCCGUCGAUCGACGCGAUUGUGAGGAUGAGGAGAAGGCUUAAAAGCUUUCAGAUAUACGUCAUUUUAUAUCAUAUUAUAAGAUUACUAAUUGCAUAGAUUUUCUAGAUAUUAUUCAUUAAAGGUAACUUUUUUUCUUCAUUUUCUAUACUUUAUUUCAAAACUAUAUCAAAAUAUCUACAAAGAAUCAAGCUAAUUUUUAAAAGGGAAAACUUCAAAAACCCCCCUGUGGUUUCGUGCAUUCUCACUUUGCUACCCUGUGGUUUAAAACGUAUCAAUUUACUCCCCUGUGGUUUCAUUUUUAUCUUUUCGGAAGCUUUUUCGUUAAUAUUUCGUUAAAUUAUAUACAAAAAACUUCAGAUAACCAUCUAUAUUUAUCGAAUAGUCACUUUAGUAUCCUUUAAUUUUAACUUUGUCACUGAUUUUAAAAAAAAAUAAUAAUAAAAUUGAUAACAAAAAGAUAAAAACGAAACCACAGGGGGGCAAAUUGAUACGUUUUAAACCACAGGGUAACAAAGUGAGAAUGCACGAAACCACAGGGGGGAUUUUUGAAGUUUUUCCUUUUUAAAAAACAUGAAAUGAUCAAUACCUUUGCUUUUAAAUAAAUCAGAUGCGUUUUAAGAUCCAUAUUUUAUCAACUCGUAGGAAGAAAUUUUAGAUAAUAUUUAAAUAAGAUAAACUGAAUUAUUUUAAGAGUAAAAAAUGCUAUACUCAUGAACACUUCUGAGAAUUAUUCUUAUCUACUCAAUAGGUAUUAGUUGGAAUUUAUUUUUAGGUAUUUAGUGAAAAUUAGAGUAUCACAAAGUGGAUGAAUUAAAUAAAAUAAAAAUAUCUUGACUAUUUGCAAUGCUCUCUCCUCGCGGCAACGCGCGAGUUUCUACACUAGUUCUCUCUUAUUAGGCUCCCUCUAAUGUGGAAAUUAAGACCGAAAGUUUUUAGGUUGAAACAGACCUUCAAGAAUCAGUAUGAAUCAUUAGGUUUACCAAACUAUCUCAAUAAAAAAUCAAUAAGGAGCUUCUCAACAAAAUCACACUUAUUUAUAUAGAUAGUGUAACUCAGCUGUAAAAUUUUAGUUGGAUUUUUAAUGAUUUAAAACUUUACGGACUUUCUGGGUAGUCCAAUAUUUCAUGGGUCUUGUUAUAAGGAUUAGUCCCAUAUUAAAAACUAAAACUAUGUUGUUGCCAUUUAUAUAUGUUGGCUUAAAUGGGCCAGCAUCCUGUCCUGUGGCGGAAGGUCAUGUGGGCCGAGUUAUGUUCGAAAUGGCGUGAGGCUAGGAUUGGGCCGAGUCAUGUUCGAAGUGGCAUGAGGUCAGGUGGGCCGAGUCACAAUCGAGACCCGUGGGCGCUGUUUCUGUACGCUUUAAGUGAAUUGGUUGCGUAUUUCUAUCAGCUCGAGCUAUUGGGAUUAAUGGUUAGCGCCAACGAUCCGAUAAGUGGUAUUAGAGCCAGAGGUCACAGGUUCGAUUCCUGUAUGCUGCAAAUAUGUGCAGGUGCUGGGGGAUUGGCUAUUUUAUUUUAUUUUCAUUUUAUUGGAAGCCUCAAUCCAUAUCCCAUAAAAUAUGAGUACGUAGGCUUACUUUUGGAUAUUUUAGGGGAGGUCGUAAGAGUUCAACCUGAACCUGAGUUUACCUAAGAGCUAAACCUUAAUCUCUAUAAAAUAUGAGUACGUAGGCUUACUUUUGGAUAUUUUAGGGGAGGUCGUAAGAGUUCAACCUGAACCUGAGUUUACCUAAGAGCUAAACCUUAAUCUCUUCUUGCCAUUGAUCUUUUGCGCUGAGUUUCACGAAGCUUUCUAAUAUUUCGUUAGAUCCCCUAAAGCUUGUUGUAUUUAUUUUGCGCCACCUUGAAAGCGUGCCGACAGAGUGGAAUGUGAUCGUUGUAUUGCUGGAAGUGAUUGCCAGGAAGCCUUGCACGUGGAGGGGCUAUCUUGCUUCUAGAAGAGUACCCUUCACGUCUUGAUCCAUAGGUCUUUUCUAAUCAUUUUCUCUACAGCAUUUACUACUUAAUUUCUACUCCAUAUAUAUUUUCGAAAAAUCUAAUUCAAUUUUCAAAUUAUCUUAAAAUUGAAAAGUUUAAUAAAAAAACUAGAAAAAUUUUUCGACAUUAGCUUCUAUAUCUGCUUUUGGUAGCAACAAUCCCUACAAAAAAAAUUUGACCGAAAAAAAAACUCUAAUCUUUUUCUCACUUCGGUGCAUCUUAUGCUGCCAAAAAAAAAAAAAAAAAAAAAAAAGAAAAAAAAAAAAAGAUAUAUUAGUGUGACGCUUCUUCUUAUAUUACUACUUGGACGGUACUUCGCUAAAUAAUGCAAUACACUACAACAGGCCAAAUAAAUUCCAAGCAUUUCAGUGUCAUAUUAGGAGUUAUUCCUAACUGUUACCUGUUAAAAUUUAGGGUUAAUUUCAUACAGGUCCCUGCAAAUAUGAUGAAGAUAUAUCCCUGCAAAGUUCAAUUUUCAUAAGUUAUUCCUAUAAAAGUCCUAAUGUAUUCAGAUAUGUUCCUGCCGUUAAUAUCCGUUAGAAAAAUUUAAUUAACCACAGUUAAAAUACUUAACCAUGGUCAGUUAAUAAGGUAAAAUGAUAUUUUUACCCUUCUUUCUCUUCCCCUCCUCUUCUUCUUCCUCUUCUUCUUCUUCCUCUUCCUCUUCCUCUUCCUCUCCUCCUUAUUCUUCCUCUUCCUCUUCUUCUUCCUUUCCUCCUCCUUCCUUUUCUUCUUCUUAUCCUCAUUUUCCUCCUCAUUUUCUUCUCCUUCUUCUUCUCCUUCUUCUUCUUCUUCUUCUUCUUCGUCGUCGAUGAUCCGAUCGUCGUCGCCGUCGUGGUGCCCGCAUGGGCUAUCGUCACGGGCGCCUUCGCCGGCAUCGGCCGCGCCUUCGCCUUCCGCCUCUUCCUCGUCCUCGUUGGCCGCAACCCCAACAAGCUCCGCAAGGUAGCCGUCGUCGCCAUCCGCCGUCCGCCGUCUGCUCCCACAACCUGAAGAGGAAGAGAAAGAGGGCAAGGGCAAAAUUAUCAUUUCACAACUCCACUGUUAAAAAAUUAACAGUUUUUUAACAGAUCCUAACCAGAGGGACAUAUCUUAAUAUAUUAGGACUUUUGCAGGGAUAACUUCUGAAAGUUGAACUUUGCAGGGAUAUAUCUGCUAUUCAUCAUGUUUGCAGGGACCUGUAUGAAAUUAAUCCUAAAAUUUAUUACAAACACUUUCUAACUGCUUUAUACAAAAUCAAGUUUUUGAGUAACGUAAUAUAAGAUUAGAGUUUGGCUGGUAUGCUUAUGGAAGAACGGGAGCCUCCGUGCUUCCAAGUUAUUUUCGAUAUUUGGACUUUUGAAUCGACGAUCGGCUCCGUUAGAGUUGAUCUAGAGUAUUUGAAGUACCUAGAAAUAAAUUUUGUGAUUUUUCAAUAUCAUUUGCCUUGUGAUCGAUGGGGCUCAAAAUCAAUAAUUUUAAUGGUCGUGGUGAGCCAGUUGCAAGUUUAACGGUGUAGAAAUAUCAAAAUCACGUGAAAUUUUGUUAGAAAAUUCUUUGUACUAUAUAAAAUAAGAUCAAUAUCUUUGAUCUAAAUUUUUAAUGCCAUAUCAUCACAUUUUGUGAGAUUUUUAUUUUCAGCCGUUGAUUUUAAGCCCCUUCGAUCACUAGGCAAAUGAUAUCGAAAAAUCACAAAAUUUAUUUACUAGGUACUUCAAAUACUCUAGAUCAAGUCUAAUGGAGCCGAUCGUCGAUUCGAAAGUCCCAACAUCGAAAACAACUUGGAAGCACGGAGGCCUCCGUGCUUCCAUAAGCAUACUAGCCGCACUCUAUAAGAUUAAGAUAUUGUCCUAGUCCCCUCAGUUUUAUAAGGUUAUGAAUUUAAUUCCGCACAUCUAUGAUAUAAUAUGUUUAUAUAUUUUCCAUUUUCUGUAAUCUGCAUUUAUGCAUACAAGCAGAAGUGCUAAAUAUAUUCCUAUAUCAUUUUCUUUCAAUUUAUAUUCUUACAUAUUGCCUUUAUAAUUGUCUCUUUAUCAUUUAAAUCUCAAUGUUAUUCAUCCUUAAUUUGGAUUUGAUCUCUAUUAACUCCAUCUCUAUUUAAUUCUCUGAGAGGAGAUAAAUAAACUAUUAAUAAAACCCAAUCCCCAUAUCAUGUGGGAUUACCAACUAGUACUAUCAUAAAAGAUGUUGCUACCACUAAUUCAUAAUAUGAAUUUUGUUAUAGCACAAUGCAACACAAAUUUAGAACAAAUUAGUUUUAAGUUCCACCACAGUUGUAGCAUUACUUUUAUCUUUUGAGGUAUGGGUAAAUUACACUUUUGGUCCUCAAACUAUGAUUCUUGUGAAACAAUCGUUGUAAAAUUCUAGAGCCCAUACGUGAACUUAAAUUAAAUGGAAGAAAAUUAAUUAUGCUAGAAUUCUGGCAUGAUUCGAACUCAGAAUCUCCUGUUUUGAUAUCAUGUGAAACAACCAUUGUAAUAGCGCUAGUAGAGAAAAGUAUUUUUAUAAUUUUAUACUUAACAAUUCACAUUAUAUUUUAGUCAUCAAAAUUUAAUUUGUAGCAAUUUCUGACUCGGCCUUUUAAAUUAUUACAACUAAGUCCUGCAACCCAACUUAUUUGACUAAAUACUUACGUGAUACUAACAUAAAUAUAAUAUGACAUAUUAUAAUUGAUAAUGCGACAAUAAUUAAGAUGUCAUAUUAUUUCAUAUCAUCAAUACGUUAAUAUUUAGUAAGCCAAAUUGGGUUGUAGAACUUGAUUGCAAUAAUUUGAAAAGUUCGAAUUUGAAAUUAUUAUAAAUUAAAUUUUAAAGACUAAAAAUGUAAUUUUUCCUAAAUGUAGUCCCUGAAAUUGCGACAAGUUUUUCUUAUGUCCCUAUUAUUUUAUUUAGCAAUAAAAAGAAUGGAUGUUCCUCUAGUAUCCCCAAAUGGCAACUUGAUCCUUAAUCCUGGAACUUUAGUCCUCAACCAUUGAAAAGAUUUCAAACAGUUUAUUUAAAAUGACAUUUUAAUCACGUUUCAUAGUAACCAAAAUAUGCGAAUUUUUACAAUAGAAUGGCAAAUUCUAAAAAAUUAGGUCUUUUUUGACGUUCAAAAAUUAAAGUAAUAUGCUUAGUUUAAAAAGUAUAGGGACCAAGUCACAAUGUUCGGAUAGUACAGAUACUUUCUAUGCAAUUUACCGUUUAUUAUUAUAUAACCCAGAUUAUUUUCUCAAUUUAUUUAGGUAACAUUAAUUUCCCAACGGGUUUACUGGUUUUAUUAGCCAUUUAAUUAACCCCGAUCUAAUAGUCAAAAUUUGUACGCAUAACUCCUAACAAAUAAAAAAGUACAGAUGUUGGAAUUAAAGUGCAAUAUAUAUAUUACUAAUAUAUAAAAAGGAUCUUAAUUAGUGAUCUAUGUUAGAAUGAUAGAAUACAAAAUUCCCCAUUUGUACGUAUGUUAACAUAUUCAUCAGAUGCAUAAUUAAGUAUCAAUUAUGCAUAUAAAUAUAUAUAUAAUGCAACAAUCUCUAUCUUUAGAAAGUACACUACAACUUUUUAGGGUGCAUGUAAUAUUCUUUCCUAUGAGAUGCUGCUUUGCGAUUGUAGUAAUUAACAAAAUCAUGGAUCACACAUCAUGUACAUAAGAAUAUAUUACAAUGAAGAUUAGCGUCUAAUAAGUUUGCAUUAUUCAAGUGAAUUAACACCCAUACUUAACACUAUAUUUAGUUUGAUUGUACAUUACCGUAUUUUUAGUAAUGAGAGUACAUUUUGGUCCCUAAAGCUAGCUCUUUCUCGAAAUUGCGGUACCACGAUUACUGGAACAUAAGCUUAGAAUCAAAAUAUUAUUUGAUAUUUAUCAGUAUUUUAGUAACAUUUAGCAACUAAUGAAUUAAAGCCUUUUAGAGUGCAGUAAAAAGAGAAAAAAAAAAAAAAGAGGUCCCGUUUAGUUUCAUUAUCGUUUCAUAAAUAAAAAUUCUACAUGUUUGCAUGCACGGCUUGUGAUCUUUCCUCUUGUCACUGCUAAAUAUCUUAUAAUGUAAUUUCAUUGGAAUGAUAUUACUUGCAUAUUCAAAGUUCCAAAGAAUGGAAAAAGAAGUCUCCGUUGUAUAUUUUAUCAUUGGUUGCAAACAAAUCUGCUAAUUAAAUACAUUGACUAUAUAAGCACUCCACACACCCUCACACUCAAUUUUUCAAUUUAUGGAAUACCUACCGUUUAGCCGUGGGAGGUGGAAUCGUAUUAAUUCAAAGGCUAAAAUGUUCAUUACAUGUGCUAGCUUGCUACUACCGAUAGUAAAUGACUAGUGUUAGUUAUAAAGUUCUUCAGUUCCGUAAAAUCGUUAUAUUCAAAUUUUUUACCAUCCGACAUAUUUAAUAAGUUAAAUCUUCAUCCCUUAUCUUUUACGCCCAGCUUAUUAUUUUAUGUCAAAUUCUCUUUUAAUAAGACGAGACGUGAAAUUAAAUACUAUUCAUACACUCUUUUUAUGAUGUAUGAAAAAUUGUAUCCAUUAGAUGGUGAGAUACAUGAUAUACGCAUUUUUUGUGAUGUAUAUAUAUAAAUAGUAUUGCUAGUACGAAAAAACCCUAGAUGCAUUUUUCUAGUACAUCUAGUUGGAACUGUUCAUUUUUAUUUUCUUUACUAACGUCCAAUCCAUGCAUCUGGUGAAUUAAUGUUUCAAAUCUCUUCCCCUUCUUCAAAAAUAAAUUUAUGCACCUACAAUUAGUUCCCCAUUUUGUAACUGUUCAUACGAAUUGAGAACCUUUGCUUUUAAUAACAUAUGAAAUAGUUGUUGGCCUUUAAAACUGAGUUGUUUUUUCUUCCCUUGCUUUUGAGGCCCAGGUGCCUUAGUUUGUAUUUCAGUUCAUUUUUUAAAUGACUAAAGCAUUAGCAUGAUAGUUUUAUCUCAAAAAAGAAAAAAAAAAAAAAAGAGUAGUGAGAUGAGGAUGAUUUAAUAUUUUGUAUUCAAUAGUUUUUAACAUCAGAAUUGGAGUUGUUCCAACAUUGGUUUUUUCUCGUUAUCAUCCUUUAUCUUGCUCUCAUAGAAAAAACUAUAAUUAUGGAUCUGUGGUGCCGUGUAAAUUUGUAACACCAUUGGCAUCUAAUCGUGUUAAAAUCUAUAUUUUUUAUGGUGAGAUUAAUUAUGUGGAUUUUCUUUAAUGUUUUGUUAUUACUAAGCAUUAUUUUUUUUUCCUUGUUUACUUUCGCUUUUUUCAUGUAAAUAAAUCUCAAACAGACAUGCAGUUUCUCAAAAAGUGUGGCUCUCAAGACUGUAUAAGGGGGGUGUUUGGCCUAACUUCUUAGAAGUGAUUCUGAGUCCAAAAUCAUAUUUGACUUCAGUAGAGCAUUUGGAAACGACAGAUGGAAAAUCUUUCUGUGGAUCCAGAAUAAGAAGCAGAAAAAAGCUGCUUCUCCAAAACUGAUUCUGAUUUUGGAUUCAAACCUCAAAUUUUUAUUUAUAUUUUAGAUUCAAAGUAUAAAUUUAACAUUAAAAUUUAAAAUUUAAGUUUUUAAAUUUAAGUUUCAAAUCUAGAUUUUAAAAUUUAAAAUUUAACAUUAAAAUUUAAAAUUUAAGUUUUUAAAUUUAAGUUUCAAUUUAAAAUUUAGAUUUUAAAUUUUAAAUUUAAGUUUCAAAUCUCAAAUUUUAAACUUUAAAAUUCAAAAUUUUAAAUUUUAAAUUUAAGAUAAAAUUUAAAUUUUGACAUUUCAGAUUUUAAAACAUAAAUUUGAAAAUUUGAAAAUUUAAAAUUUAAAAUUACAAGUCCUAAUUUUCAAAUUACAAAAUUCAAAUUAUAAUUUAUAAAUUUCAAAAUUCAAAAUUUUAAAUUUUAAAAUUUCAAAUUUAAAAUUUUAUUUUAUUCUUAAAUUUAAAAAUUCAAAUUUUAAAUUUUAAAUUUAAAAUUUAAAAUUUUAAAUUUUAAAUUUUAAAUUUCAUAUUUNGGCAAAAAAAAAUUUACUGUUUGCAUAUGAUAAUUUUUUUUAACUAAAUUUUAUUUUAAAUAAUUUAAAUUUGAAUUUACAUUUAAAUUUUAAAUUUUAAAUUUUAAAUUUUAAAUUUUAAAUCUUAAAUUUUACAUUUUAAAUUUUAAAUUUAGAUUUCAAAUUUGAAAUUCAAAAUUUAAAUUCAGAUUGGAAAAUUGAAAUUUAAAUUUGGAUUUAAAAAUUCAAAUUUUAAAUUUUAAAAUUUGAAAUUUAAAAUUUAAAAUUUAUUUUUUGUACAAAUUUGAAAUUUAAAAAUUAUACUUUUAAUUCAAAUUUAAAAUUUUAAUUUAAAUUCAAUUUUUAAAUUAUUUUAAAAUAAAAUUUAGUAAAAAUAUUAAUAUAUGCAAGCAUCAAAAAUUUUUUGCCAAAUAGUUUUAGAAAAUCACUUUAGAAAAAUAACUUUUGCUAAACUCAGCCAAAUGCUCUACAGUAUUUCACCAAAAUCAAUUUUUCAAACCAAAAUCACUUCUGCAAAAAUCACUUUUCCAGAAUCUAGGCCAAAUAGGUCAUAAGUGGUUAGAUAAACAUAAUUAGGAAUGUGAAUAGGUCGGACUCGGGGCAGAUUUUCAAAAGUUGAAUUCGAACCAACUACAAACCCGAAAUCCAAACCCGAACCCGAACCAGAUUAACUUUAACAAUUCAUAUCCAAAUCUGAUCCCGAUAAAAAAUCUGAAACCGAAACCUGAACCUGGAAACCCGAACCCAAAAUAAUUAUUUUUCUCUACCAUAUCGAAUCCUCAAUAACUUAUACACUUUGCGCUAUCUGCUUCAAUGGUAGGUAUGAGGUCCAUCUCAAGUGCUUCAGUAGCAGGUGUGGGCUCCAGCUUCCCUCUUCUAAGUUGACUAAAAAUAGAAAAAUGACUCAAUUUUUCGGUCUCCUCCUGUUUUCUCAUUGUUUCGUCUCUCCUCCUCUAUUAAUAUUUUUUUAUUUUCUUUUCUUUCCUUUUUUUUUUCCUCCUCAAUUAAUACUUUUGGUUUCCAUUUCUUUCCUCGCUAUUUCGUCUUCUCUCUGCUGCAUUGUUCCAACCAUCUUUUACAUUCUAUUAUCCUCUUCUCCCCCAGUCCCCCUCCCUUCCCCUGUGUCUCUCUUCCACUGGAAGCGGCGUCCAUGACAAGGACGGUGACGUGACCGAUAUUGUCGCCAACCGCUCCACCACCCCAUCUCUCCAUCUCUUACCUCCCCCUCCUCCCCCCCCUGCCCAAGAUUUUGAUCAGUCUACAUGCCUGACGUGCAAGCCCCGCAGCAGUGCUACCGCCUCCGUCGUUGUCCUCAUGUUUCGAGAGGCAGCCAUCAUUGUCGAGGUCAUUUGGAAGAAGGUAAAUCAGCACAUCACCAAAAUCAACAACAUCUCAGUGAUUUAAAUUGAAAUUUGAGGAUAGUUUAAAAAUUCUAAAAAACUUUUCAUAUUUCCAACACUCGAGAAUAAGGGAUACCUACACCCUCCUUGUUAACAGGAUUCUCUCUUUUAGAGGGUGUUAGGAUUUGAUUAGAUUUGUAGCUGAAUGCUAGUUAGAUUAGAAUUAAUAUUUAAAUCUGUUAGAGAUAAAGUAUUAAGAUUUAAAUAUUAAUUAGAGUAAAAUUCUAAUUGGACUAUAAUUUGGAUAGCUUUUAAUGUAAGUUAUAAAUAUCGUAUAGGUGCCAGUAUUUUGCUGGUGGUUGUGCGGCUUAGCCACACCCAUAUGGCAUGGCUAAAGUGGUUAAAAUUUUGGAUGCACCUAGUGUAAGAGGAUGUGUGCGAUUUUUGUGGCCGUGGGUUAUUAGAAUACACGGGUGCACAGGAUGAUAGAGAAGUCUUCUGAGUUUAUAGAAGAUGAGAGAAAGGAGAGAAAGAUUCAGAAAGAGGAUUCGAGUUGAAACUACCCUAUUGUAGAAGAAUCAAUUUAGUAAAUCCUAUUUUACCCGUAUAUUUUUAUGUUUGGUUUUUCUCUCUUUUGUGAUUGUGACAGCUGUUUGCUGAGAAUAUGGUUUUAUGGUAAAAAUCUGAUUUGACGCUUCUGUUGUGGAAUUCCAACAACUGGUACCGAAUCAAUAAUAACCGGUAUCAGAGCGGAUUGCAAAUUCUUAAAAUCUGGUAUUAGGGCGAGUACCAGAUUUUCAACAAUUGAUAUCAAAGCCUAAGGUUAUCGAUCUUGAGAGAUAUCGACGUCAAAGCAUUGGAUUACCAAUCCUUAAUAGAAGAUUGAUGUCAGAGUACAGUGUUAUCGAUCAUUCCAAGCGAUCGAUGUCUAAAGCGAAAUUUGAUCUCGCUAGGCAUGUAGGACUCGAAGGGUUGCAAAUUUUCAGCUUCAGGUGGAGCAUGAAGGUCUGAAAGCGAGAUCGGGUUGUGUGCGAGACGAACAACCAUGGGAACUUGUAUGCUCUAAACGGGAGUACAGUCAGAACGGAAGCAAAAGUAGUUUCGGUUCAAAAGUUCACGAAAGUGCAAUCGGUCGAGAUGGAGCAGUAGAUGUAGUGACAUCGAGCAAAGGAGGCAAGCACAAAGUGGAGCUUGCAUGGUGAGUUUGACGCAGCAGCUAAAAACUACAAAUCAAAUCAAGGUAGAGAUUAUUGAGAUUUGAUUAGAUUUGGAGUUGAAUCCUAAUUGGAUUAGAAUUAAUAUUUAAAUCUGUUAGAAAUAAAGUAUUAAGAUUUACAUAUUUAGAGUAGAAAUCUAAUUGGACUAAAAUUUGGGUAGCUUUUAAUGUAAGCUAUAAAUAUCGUAUAGAUGCUAUUAUUUUUAUGGUGAUUGUACGGCUUAGCCAUACCCAAAUGGCAUGGCCAAGGUGGUCAUAAUUUUGAAUGCACCUAGUGCAUUGGUGCAAGAGGACGUGUGCGAUUUUCAUGGCCGUGGAUAAUUGAUAUACCUUAUGCACGGGUGCAUAAGAUGAGAAAGAGGUCUUCUAAGUUUAUAGAAGACGAAAGAACGGUGAAAAAGAUUCAGAAAGAGGGUUCGAGUUGAGACUACUCUAAUAUAAAAGAGGAUUCAGAUGCAAUAUUCUCUUAUUCAGUAAAUCUUAUUUUAUCCGCAUAUUUUUCUGUUUGGUUUUUCUCUCUUUCAUGAUUGUGCCAACUGUUUGCUGAGAAGAUGGAUUUAUAAUAAAAAUCUAAUUUGGCGCUUCCAUUGCAAGUACUAGAUUCCCAACAGAGUGAAUUCUAUUCCUUUUGAAACAAAAAAAUUUCGACUAGAUAUCUUAUGCUCUAAUCUGUAUAAAUUUUUUAAUAAUCAAAUACAAAUCGCGCGAACCGAAUGCGUUCUAACUGAUGUGUACAUAUCAAUUCUUUUGAAAAAUAGGAAAAAUAAGUUACAAAGCCCGCGAAACAUCGCUCAUCAAACAUUCAACUUGUAGCAUUAAGGCCACCAAAAGCCCAACUAAGACAAACAAAGCCCAUGAUUCAUGUUGGAGCAUAGGCUGGAAAAAUAUUGAAUAUGGAAUGAGGACUGUACUCUUAUGAGUAUAGAGCCCUUCAUACUCAUAAGUUGUUUUCAAUGAUUGAGCUUCCGAAUCGAUGAUCCAUUCUGUUAAAUAUGAUCUAGAGUAUUUGAAACUUCUAGAAAAUAAAUUUCGUAAUUUUUCGAAAUCAUAAUAAAGUUCAUCGAGCGGGUAUAAAAUGAAUGGUUAAAAUCGAACGAUGUUUUAAAAAUGGAUUAUCGGAUCCUUCAAUUUAAGAUCGACAUUAUUGAUCUUUAUCUAUGUAGUGAAUAGAAUUUUCUAUCAAAAAUUCAACCGAUUUCGAUUCUUUUAUACCAUUAAACUAGCAAAUAUUCCAUACCGGCCGUUAAAAAUUGUCAAUUUUGUGACCUUUUGAUCGUAAGGUAAAGAAUGUCAAAAUAUUAUAAAAUUUGAUUUCUAAAUAUUUAAAUACUCUAAAUAUCGUUUAACGGUGUGGAUUGUCGAUUCGAAAACUCUAUCAUCAAAAACAACUUAUGAGUACGAAGACGAUCGUACUUAUAAGAGUAUAGCCAGACUCAUGAAAUGAGUACCAUUCCCUCUUACUGGGCUACAAAACUGCCUCAACAAAACUCUGUCGAUGAUAAAACAACUAUAUUAGGCAGCUGUUGUUCACUUACUUUCUCUGUUCGUGCAAGAAAGAGAAUUGUCGGCAGUCUAAAGUCUAUUAGGAAAAUCCAACCUCUGCCAGCAUUUUCAUUCCGGAAAAAUUAGCUUUUGAUGCCUGUUUACUGAUUAUCAGAUUCAGCUAAAAAGUAACUUCUCCAGAAAUCACUAAUAGCAGGAAUGAAAAGGAAUUCCUUCUCAAAUAACAACAGGAACAUACUGAAAAUAAGCAUCCAACUGAGAAAUCAGAGACUCCGAGUCCACUGUAAAUUUUAAAGAUACACACACAGAGGCCAAACUUCUAUUCAUUUGACAAACGAAACCAUGAGGACAUCAUUCACCACAACAUUUUACACAAGGGUUAUAGCAUAAGUAUUAUGCUCUAUGAAACAUGGAAUUAACCCUAAACCAAUGAACUGUCUUAGCUUUGUCUCAUCACUGGCAGCAAGCCUGCUUCUCGAUUUUCGAAUCCUUUUAGAUUUUCGAGAGCCCUUCUUCAAAAAGCCGCAGCUAUAGCUCGCUUUCUCUGCUUAUUAGGCACUCUUGCUUAUUUGGCACUUCAUUGACGCCAAACUUUCGUUUCGGAUGCCAAUUUUCAGGUACAUGAAUCCGGAGCUUCCUCUAAUGUUUCUCCUUCAUUACACCGCAUCCUUGUAUUCUGCUAGAAAAAUAAACAAGGAAAAGAAAAAGAAAAGAAAAGCCGCAAGAAGGAGAAGAUAAAGAUAACACUACUCUGAUAAACAGGAAGUUUCAGCUUGUUAGAAGCAUCUAGUAGUGUCCAAUGGCAGAUAGUACAAAAGAAUCUGAGUUUAUUAUAGAAGCGACAAAUAUUUGAUGAGAUAGUGAAAAGGAAUUGAUAACCAUCACUAAUUAUCUAUCACUACAUAAAACAGUAAUGAGACUGUCCCAUUGAUACAAAACUUAGGAACUUGACUCACUUCACCUGCUAUGUCUCCUUUUCUUGAUUGCUUCCUCUUCUUCCCUGAUGUAUAGAACGUAUUUUUGCUGACGAUACAAAGGACAGCAGCAUAUCAAUAUGUACAUGAUCAAAAAAAAAAUUACGAAGGACAGCAGCAUAUCAAUAUGUACAUGAUAAAAAAAAAAAAAUUAGCUACACCUGAUACCUAAAACAAUCCCUUCUGAUUAAGUCAAACCAGAAAAACCAAUGUUAAUGUUGCACCUUUUUGUUGGCUGCUGUUCCUGCAGAAUGAAGAAAAUCCAGAGUGUUGUGUCUCUGCAAACAAUAUAUUUUUGGAUAGUAGAAGAACUUUAUCCCACAUUCAUAAGCACGACUUAAAUGUGCGCUCGAGCAUAAUUUGUUUAUGCAUGUCACAUGCUGGUGGGACUGAAAUUCGUCCAUUUCAUUUCAAAGAGAUUCACACAUUUAUAUACUUUUGUAUAUAUGGCUCUCUUUUUCAAAGAGAUAAACUGUGUGAGACUAAAAUACACUAUGCAGAUGAGGGUUUGAAAGUACGUGCACCCAACAACAAAACUUAAAUUGACAUUCUAAACACUCUACCAAACACAAUAAGUGCUGUUUUUUUAUCUUGAAGCGUUCUAGACCUUAUAGUUUUUCAUUAUUACAAGUACGAUAGUAAUGACAACUAACCUAUAAGUUAUUCGCUCUUUUAGUCUGACAAUCGGUAAAAAUGAAUUCAAAUAACCUUAGGGACCUAGAACUUGUUACUUCCUAUCAAUUUCUUGUACGUAAACCACAAACGAAUUAAGAGAGAUUAAAAGUAGUGAAUUCCACUUGUAUCUACCACUGUUAAACAUUUGCCACUACUAGAGCUUAUACCUCGGUGAAAGUUCAAAGGGUUCUGAAAGAACAUCCAAAAGCUGCAUAUAGGUUUAGUAGAAUAUGAACUAAGAAUAACGUUUCUGUUUGUCUGUAUGUAAUUAGAAUUCCCUUCUUUAGAUACCUCAAAAACAUGUUCAGAAAUAAAAACUAAUAGAAAUUUUCUUAUUGGCCAAGUACAUUAUAGAUAUUAACACGUAAGAAGAAAAUUUGUACAAAAAUCAGAGCGAAUUUUCAGACAACAUGGACAAAGACAGUGCUCCAAAGAGUAAAUAAUGCAUUACCUUCUAGAGCUAACAGGAUCCUGAGAAUUUCUUACUAUUUAAUACACUAAAGAGCAGAAAAAUAUAAGGUGAACUUGGCCGAAAAUGUUAGCUCUUGGUGUUAAGAACGGCCUAAAUUAUCUUGAACAAAUCCAACUAAAUUUCGAAUAGGGAGGAUAAAGAGAUUAGAAUGGAGAGCAAAGCGGAUAACUGGUUAUUGGAUGGUCAAAUAACUAAUAUAGUAGUGCCACGGAUGUCUCACAUGUAUUGCAAAAUACAGUUCACAAGUUAGCUUUGUAUAUGCACAACUAGUUUUUUGUAUAUCUUGAGUAACAGAACUGUAUAGUAAGAAUAUCAACUUGAUUAACUAAUACACUAUUCUUCUUCGCAAUAAGACCAUUUCCAGUUUGUUGUCCAUGAAAUGUUUUGGAUCCAAGUGAUGUAAGAUUUUAAAUACUAUAUCAGUGAACCUCAUCAAAUGCCCUAGGUAAAACACAAUUGGGACUGAACAAUCUCUCAGAGAUUGUUAUAUAAAGAAAUCUUGAUUACGAGUGAAAACAAUUUGUAUGCAUAAUAAUAAUUUUCAUUCCUAAGGAAAGCCAGGAAAGAAUUUGCAUCUAUCUGGAUUUUGGACCAGGACCUUAAUUGGGUAAUGCCAACAUUGAUGAGAGAGAAAGGAAUUUAAGCAAAAUUCAGAUCCAAGUAUUGUAUAUAUACGCGCUUCCUAAAGAAUAACAAUUUAACAAAAUUACUGAAAAGCUCUAAUUGCUCAUAGUUUGUCCUGAUCUAUAAUAUAUCAAUGCUGCAUAUUCCCUAAACAUGUCUAUUUAAAAGUUUAUGAAUGGAAACUACUAAAACUCUAACAUGCCAUUACAUGUGUGUCAGACAAAUACUUAUACAACCCUUAGGGGACCAUAUAUGCAUGAAACUUUGUAGUUGUAAUAUGUCAUUAUCAGAGCCAUAACUAAUCCAUUUUCAUCUCUAAUUAGACCAUAGGAUCAAUAGCUAGUCCAUAGUGCCACACCUAUGGUAAUUCAUAGUAGAGUUGGACAAAUUGAUAUAUCCAAAAGUAUUAUCAGAGAUAAGAAUUUCAUAAAAGAAGCUAUUUUGGAAGCUUGGAUGUAACAUAAGCUUCUGUAUGAAGAAAUAAUGAUUGCAUGCUCCAAAAAAAGGCAACAUUAUAUGUACAAAUGCUAAAACCAUUUUCAUCGAAUACAAUAUAAAUGAGUUACUAGAAUUUCAAAUGAUAGUAUAAAUCUAGAUUUUUCAACCCUUGGGCUCAAAGCAAAUAGAAUAAAUAAGGCAAGCCAGAGUUGGAGGGGGAUAUAACACAAUACGGAUAUUGAUGAAGACUAUAAAGUUCAUUGACAGCAAAUACCAGUACUUAAAUGCAUUUGAUAACUCAUGGCUUAACAUACUAGCGCCUGUGGUGCUUCAGUGAGAUUAAUCUGUUGGACAUUAUUUUGUACAGAAAUCUCAAGUCAAAAGUAUGAAAAAUUAUCCUGGCUUUGUUUCAAUUCGGAAAAUGUAAGUUCAGUCGACGACAAAAGCUCAAAAAAUAAGCUUUCACAGAGAAUGGUUAUCCUUGUUGUCGUCCAAGUCAGUCGAGUGUCCGCCGCAAGCCUUCUUGGCAGCUUCUGCAAGAGAUAAUUGGAGCUCAUCAUGCAUGUCUGACUUCUUAAAAUCCAACGAAGAAGCAAUCACAGAUGAGCCGACCUGUUGACUUUUCCUUCCUUCCAGUAAUUGCUUCACAUUCUGGUUUGAACAAAAAAAAGAAGAUAGAAGAAACUAAAUCAACUCUCAAGCUACAAAGAAUAAAAGACCAUAUUAAGAAACCGAUGAAUAUUUUCAAUUCACCUAAGCAUUAUUUUUCAAUCCAUAACUCCCGGAUGCUCAUGCCCGAAUCAAGUGUGCAAAAGAUUAUCCAUUUAGUAGUAGUUUUCUACCCAGAGGUUCAGUCAACUAAAUAUAAACUGUGACAGAAACAACUAGUAAUAGCACAAUCUCCAAUUUCGAUCGGAAAUUACUCACGGUCGCAUAACAAAUUACUUGCAAGUAUAUAGAAAACACAAAAUUUAUUGGUUAUGAAGUAUUUAAAGAUGACUUUUGGUCUUCUACAUUAACACCUACCACCGCAAAUCUAAUUAAGAAAAAUUAGAUGCGAAAUGCGAACAAAAUUUAUAAUCAAUGUCUCAAUUCUACUAUGGGAGAAAUACAAAACGAUAAAAAAAAUCAUGCACUGUGCUUCAGGGAUUAGGCUCGACCUGCAGCAGUGCCGGGUCGAACUUGGGGAUUCCGAUCUGGCCGACGGUGAGCGCGCCGCAGAAAUUGCCGAGGAGCGCGGCGUCGGGCACGGGCAGGCCCCACAUCAGCCCGGCGGCGAGCCCUCCCAAGAAGCUGUCGCCGGCGCCCGUGGGAUCGACCUGGACGGCGGGGAACGGCGGCACGCGCAGCUCCCCUUCCCUCGUGUAGAUCCGGCACCCGUUCUCGCCCUCGGUGACGACGACGCAGCAGCGCCGCCGCGCCUCCUCGACGCCGACGAAGGGGGCUUCCUCGGAGGACGCUUUGAGGAGGGCGAUCCGGGGGAGGAGGCGGAAGAAGGGGGUGGCGCGGAGCGGGACGAGGCCGACGGCGCCGUCGGCGGGGUCGAAGGAGCGGAUGAGGCCCUGGACGUCGACGAAGGUGACGUCGCAGGCGCCGACGAUGCACUCGAGAGUCUCCGGCAGGAUCUCGCCGGCGACGCCGACGGCGAGGCCGAGGGAGAAGCGGGCGUCCGGGAGGUCGGAAGGGAAGAUCGGAUCGCAGGCACGGACUCGGCGGAGGAGGCGGCGAUCGUGGUGGCGGGAGUGGAAGUGGGCGUGGAAGAGGGUGGUGGGGGAGGGGGAGGAGAGGAGGCGGGAGCGGGGGACGGAGUGGGCGAAGUCUGGGCCGACCUUGGCGACGUAGCGGGCGGGGGAAGGGGAGAGGAGGGCGUCGAGCACGUUGGACACGAAGGCGGCGGCGCCGCCCAGGGUCUCGCCGACGGCCGCGCCGUCGCGGAAGAGGACGUCGUGGCAGUAGUUGCCGACCACCACGCACCACCCCCGCGCGUCGCCAUCGUCGUCGUCGACUUGCACCAUCGUCGUCGUAAAAAAGGAGACUGUGGUAGUGGUAUUGGUGGUGGUGGUGAUGGUGAUGGUGAUGGUGAUGGUGAAAGGAAAGAGAAGAGGGGAGGGAGAGGGAGAGGGAGAGGGAGAGGGAGGGGGAGGACGGAAGGGGGGGGGGUUCCUCUUCUGGCCAUUACUGGCGUGCGCGAGCGAUUAACUAGCGUGCGCGGCGGUGCGGGUUACGGACGCGUCGAGAAAAACUUUACAGAGGCCGCCGGCAACGUGGCUUUCAACGGCACCGCUUACGGCUCUGGCACGCGCCACUUGUAAACUUAGUGCUUCGAUUCUGGCCAAAAAUAAAAUUUAGGCUUUGUUUUAUUUCAUAUAUAUAUAUAAUAUAUAUAUAUAUAUAUAUAUAUAUAAUAUAUAUGUAGGUCCAGCUAUGGUGCUUUAAAAGCACCAAGCACUGUGCUUAUAAGUUUUGGAGUUAGAUCUACUCCUCGAUCAUUUUCAACAUUAGAUUAUACUAUUCGACUAACCACCCACUCAACCUGGAGGGCCCACAUCAUCCAUAACCGAUAUACUCUUAAUCCAAUGUCUAAAAAUUUACAAGCACCAAUAACUUUGUACUUUAAAAGUAUGGAGCUCAAUAUAUAAUAUAAUUAUAUAUAUAUAUAUAUGAGUCCGCUACUAUACUCUUAUGAGUUCGACCGUCUCUGGUACUCAAUAAAUUGUUUUCGAUGAUAGAGCCUUCCGAAUUGACGAUCCACACCGUAAACCAUUAUUUAUAGCAUUUAUAUCUAGAAAUCAAAUUUCAUAAUUUUUCGACAUCAUUUACCUUACGAUCAAAAGCUCACAAAAUUGACAAUUUUAACGCCGUAUGGGAUACUUGCUAGUUUAACGGUGGACAAAGAAUCGAAUAGGUUGAAUUUUUUGAUAGAAAAUUCUAUCACUACCUAGAUAAAUCAAUAACUCCGAUCUUAAAUUGAAGGAUCCGAUCAUCCAUUUUAGGACGUCGUUCGAUUUUGACCGUUAUUAUCCCGCUUGAGGGACUUAUUAGAUUUCGAAAAUACGAAAUUUAUUUUCUAGAAGUUUCAAACAUCCUAGAUCAUGUUUAACGGAGUGGAUCAUCGAUUCGGAAGCCCAUCAUCGAAAACAACUUAUGAUACUAGAACCCACUACUCAUAAGAAUAUAAUAGCCUUCUACUAUAUUAAUAAUAGAUAUUAAUAUAUAUAUAUAUAGUUGAGCUAGAAUACUAUCGAUAGCAAACGGGCUCCGUGGCCACCUAUUUGUUUUCGAUAUAGUAGCCACGGAAGGGGGGGGGGUUUCCUCUUCUUGCCAUACUGGCGUGCGCGAGCGAUUAACUAGCGUGCGCGGGUGCGGGUUACGGAACGCGUCUGAGAAACUUUACAGAGGCCGCCGGCAACGUGUGCUUUCAGACGGCACCGGCUUACGGCUCUGGCACGCGCCACUUAGUAACUUAGUUGCUCGGAUUCUGGCCAAAAAUUAAAAUUUAGGCUUUGUUUUAUUUCAUAUAUAUAUAUAAUAUAUAUAUAUAUAUAUAUAUAUAUAUAUAUAUGAGGUCCAGCUAUGGUGCUUUAAAAGCACCAAGCACUUGGUGCUUAUAAGUUUUUGGAGUUAGAUCUACUCCUCGGAUCAUUUUCAACAAUUAGAUUAUACUAUUCGACUAACCACCCACUCAACCCUGGAGGGCCCACAUCAUCCUAACCGAUAUACUCUUAAUCCAAUGGCUAAAAAUUUACAAGCACCAAUAACUUUGUACUUUUAAAAGUAUGGAGCUCAAUUAUAUAUAUAUAAUUAUAUAUAUAUAUAUGAGUCCGCUACUAUACUCUUAUGAGUUCGACCGUCUCUGUACUCAAUAAAUUGUUUUCGAUGAUAGAGCUUCCGAAUUGACGAUCCACACCGUUAAACAUUAUUUAUAGCAUUUAAAAUUCUAGAAAUCAAAUUUCAUAAUUUUUCGACAUCAUUUACCUUACGAUCAAAAGCUCACAAAAUUGACAAUUUUAACGGCCGUAUGGGAUACUUGCUAGUUUAACGGUGGAAAAGAAUCGAAUAGGUUGAAUUUUUGAUAGAAAAUUCUAUUCACUACCUAGAUAAGAUCAAUAACUCCGAUUUAAAUUGAAGGAUCCGAUCAUCCAUUUUAGGACGUCGUUCGAUUUUGACCGUUAUUAUGCCCGCUUGAGGGACUUAUUAUGAUUUCGAAAAAUACGAAAUUUAUUUUCUAGAAGUUUCAAACAUCCUAGAUCAUGUUUAACGGAGUGGAUCAUCGAUUCGGAAGCUCCAUCAUCGAAAACAACUUAUGAUACUAGAACCCACUACUCAUAAGAAUAUAAUAGCCUCUACUAUAUUAUAUAAUAUAUAUUAAUAUAUAUAUAUAUAGUUGAGCUAGAAUACUAUCGAUAGCAAACGGGCUCCGUUGCCACCUAUUUGUUUUCGAUGAUAGAGCCUCCAAAUCGACGAUCGGCACCGUUGAACAUGAUCUAUACCACUUGAAGUGUUAGAAAUCAAAUUUUAAAUCUUUUCGACAUCAUUUGGCCUAAUGAUCAAAGGAUUUCAAAAUUUGUAAUUUUAAUGGUCGAUAUGAGGCGUUUUCUCGUUUAACGCAUAAAGAUAUCCAAAUCAAUUGAAUUUUGUUAGAAAAUUCUUUAAACUAUUUAAAAUAGGAUCUAUAGUCUGAUCUGAUUACAAGACUCCUAUCACAUUUUAAAGAAUAUUUAUUCAGCCGUUCAUGUUUGUGUCCACUCGAUGGAUAAGAAACAAUAUCGAAAAUGUAUGAAAUUUUGAAUAGAUCAUGUUUAACGGUACCAAUCGUCGAUUUAGAUGCUCUACAUCGAAAACAAAGGUGGCAACGGAGCUCAUUUGCUAUCGAUAGUAUUCUAUCUCAACUCUCUCUCUCCUCCCAUCUCUCCUCUUUAUAUAUAUAUACAUAUAUAUAAUAAUAUAUAUAAUAUAUAAUAUAUAUUUUUAUUUAUAUAUAAUAUAUAUAUAUAUAUAAUACACACUCCUAAGGCCAAUUGUGUAAAAAAAAAAAAAAAAAAAAAAAAAAAAAAAACUAAACUUCAAAUACCACCAUGUAAUUGCAUACUUUUUUUACUUAAAUAAUUUAUCAUUAAAGUAUACUUAUUAAUUUAAUAUCCUGUGGUCUCAUUGUUUUUCUUUUCGCCGUCCUCUCCGUUAACUUUUCGUUAAAUCAUAUGCAAAAAUUUCAGGUAGCUCACCUAUAGUUUGUCGAAUAUUCACUUUAAUACUCUUUAGUUUUAACUUUGUCACUGAUUUAAUGAAAAAAAUCAAUAAAGGGGUAACAAAACGAGAAAAAUAAAACCACACUUUAAACCACAGUUACUAAAGUGAGAAAGUGCAAAACCACAAGAAUAGUAUUUGAAGUUUUUCUUUAAAAAAAUUCACUAAUUUUAUAUCUUUUAUAAAAAUAGAUUAUUUUUUAAUUUUAUAAAAAUACAUUGAAUAUUAUAAAAUUCUAUUUUGAAUAUUCAAACACAUGUCAUAAAGUAUACUGCUCAAAAAGUUCGGAGCGUGUGGAAUGUCUAGUGUCAGAAAAUUCGGCACGCAUGUACUGUACUUCUGAGCGCCCGAAUCUCUGAAGUGGGCGCUGGAAAGGUGGAUUUUCAACAACUGGCUCAAGCUAUAAUGGGGGCUUUGUUCACUCAUCCAUUGACAUUUAGAGCUUGUAAAAUUCAUAGUGUUCAUACUUUUAGCUCUCUACUCUCUCUCUCAAGUUUGAGUGAAAUUUUGUGAUGAGAUACAAUGUAAAAGAGAGUGAAGAAAAGUGUAGAAAGUGUAAUCUUGUUGAGAGAAGAAGCUUUUGGUGUAACGGUUUGAUGUUUGACCAAAAAACAUAUCGAACAGUAAAAAGCCAACAUUCUCUUGCGUUGAGAAGUUGGCGAGAAUGUAGGCAAAGAGUUGAACCUCGAAACAAAUCGGUCACGUACUUCGAGUUUGAUUUUCUCUGAUUUUUCUCUUUUCUUUUAUCGUGGUUUUAUCGAUUUGUCUUUUAUUAUAUUUUUAUUUUAGAAAACUAAUUCAUCUCCCUUCUUAGGGUGCCAUUUCAAUCCUCACAUGUUUCAAAACAGUAUAACUUAGUCUCAACAAUACAAUUUCUAUCUUAUAUGGUACAACUUAAUUUCAAAUAAUUUUAAAUAUAAACAUCGUCUCAAAUAAUAUUACUUUGUCUCAUAAAAUUCUUCUUCUUUUUUCUUCUCUUCUUCGCCUUUCUGUAAUGGCUACAGCACAUUAUGGCUUUAUCAGAAGUAGAAUUUUUUUUUCCCUUAUAAUAUUCUCCUCUUUCUUUUUUUUUUCAUCUUUCCCAUCUUUUUUUGGUACUGCAGAGGGUAUUUUCGCCUUCUGCAUCCUUUUUUGCCACCCCGCUUCGACGCGCUCUCAUUUCUCCUCCUCUUCAAAUCUUGCAGCACCCUCAUCACCAUCCACAGUCAUGCCCUCCGUCACAGCCUCACAUAGGCAAUCUUUGUCACAUCUGAGCCUACGUCGCUGCCGUUGGCAUUGACAGAGGUGUGGAAAAAAGAGGAGUGCAGCAUCAAGAAGAAAGAGAGGAAGAAAAGACAAAAAAAAUAGGAGAUGAAAAGAGAGGAGAAAACUAAACAAGAGAGAACCAAAAGAGAAAGAAAAAAUGAUAUUUUGAUCACUGAAAAAUUUUAAUUUAAUCUACAAAAUCCGAAAAAAAAAAUUUAUCUUUAUAAAAAUAUAAAAUUGGUGAACUUUUCAUGCAAAUUGGCCAAAUACUGAAUUGGGUUAUUUAGAGAGCCUACAACUUUCUUCUUAUUAUUAUUCAGAUAGCUAAGAAUGAACUUCGUUUCACCCCAAAUGUAAGAUUUUUAAAAAAAAUACAUUGUAUAUUAUAGAAUCCUAGUUUGAAUAUUCAAACAUUUCUUCUCUAAAAAAAAUGAUCAGCACAAAAACAAAAAAUUAUAUUUUCUUUCUUUAUAAUAUGGUUAUGUAUCGAAUUAUAGACUUAGCAUUUUUCUAAAUUAAAAUUUACUUUACCUCAGAAUAAAAAAAUACGUUUAGAACAACAAAAAUAAAAAUUGCAUGUUAAAAAAUGCAAAAUAAAUUUUCUUCUCCAUAAUAAAUUAUUAAAAAAAUAUUCGACCAAUUUGCAUAAAAAAUCUAUUAGUUUUAAGCUUUUGCAAAAGGAAGCCGUCUUUUUGAAUUUUGCAGAUUCGGACCGAAUUUUGAGAAAGAUGACCAAACUAUCCCUCUUUCAAAAUGCAUAAAAAUUAUAUACUUUAAAUGCCUAGAAAAACACAACUGCUAAGCCAUUAAGUGUAAAAUUUUUUGAAAAUGACAACUGCUAAACCAUAAUUAUAUGUAACUUUCUCGUGAAACGAGAAUUCUCAUUCAAGACAAAAUAAAAAAAAUAAAGUAUAAUUAAUAUGAUGAAAGAGUGCAACAUUCUCUCAAAUAGUGCAACAUGCUCUUCCAAAUAGUAUAAUAUCUGUAUAAAUAGAGCAAUAUAUGUAUUAGUAAUACACAUUUUGUAUUAUUUUUACACUAAAUUACGAAUAGUAUAGUACAUUACGCGAAAAUAAUAUAAUAUAUUACAACAUACUAUAAAAAUUAUACAAUAUAUGUAUAAACGGUGCAUAUUUUAUACUAUUUGUACAGAUAUUUACACCAUUUGUGUAAAUGUUGCACUAUUAUGAGAGAAUGUCGCACUAUUUAGAUAUGUGUUGAUCUCUUUCUUUUUGAAAAUUAAAUUUUAUUGCAUAUUAAAUAAAGUGUCAAAUUUUUUGAAAAUGACAAAUGCUAAACAUAAUUACAUGUACAUUUCUCUUGAAACGAGAAAUUUCAUUCAAGACAAAAUAAAAAUAAUAAAUAAUAAUUAAUAAAAUAAAAAAGUACAAUAAUUUCUCAAAUAGUGCAAUAUAUGUAUAAACGGUGCAUAUUUUAUACUAUUUGUACAGAUAUUUACACAAUUUAUGUAAACGUUGAACUAUUAUGAGAGAAUGUUGCACCAUUUAAAUGUGUGUUGCACUCUUUCUUUUUUAAAAUUAAAUUUUAUUGUAUAUUAAAAAAAGUGUCAAAUUUUUUGAAAAUGACAACUACAAGCCAUAAUUACAUGUACUUUUCUCGUGAAACGAGAAACCUCAUUCAAAACAAAAUAAAAAGAAUAAAAUAUAAUUAAUAAGAUAAAAGAGUGCAACAUACUCUCAAAUAGUUCAAUAUGCUCUUCUAAAUAGUGCAAUAUCUCAAAUUAUUAAUACACAUUUUGCAUGAUUUUUACAUUAAAUUACGUAUAGUUUAGUAUAUUACGCGGAAAAAAUAUAGUAUAUGCAACAAAUGCAUUACGAAUACAUAUAGGGCGUGUUUUUUUCGAAAUCGGAAUCGGAAUCGGAAUCAGAAUCGAAAUCGAAAUAAGCUGGAAUCGGAAUUGGAAUGACUCAUUACCUAAUUCUGUUUGAUUCAUCACCUGAAUCGGAAUCGGAAUAAAUCAUUCCCAUUGUCGGUGUUUGGUUCAAGUAGAUAUAAAAAACAUAAUCAAAUUAAUAUACUAACUUUAUCUUUAUAAUAUAUUAAUUUAAAUUCAAAUUAAAAAUUAAAUAUUAAAAAUUUAUAUCAAAAUUUUGAAAUAAUGUCAAAAUUUUAAAUUUUUUUUUUAAAAAAAAUUAAACUUUAAAGUUGAGUGGAUAAUUCAAAAUAUAAAACUAAAUUUUGAUUUAUUCAAAUUCAAAUUUAAAAUUACAAUUUAAAUUUUAAUUUGAAUCCAUAAAUUUAAUAUAAGUUUUAAAUAAAAUUUGAACAAAAUUUUAUAUAAAUUAAAAUUUAAUUUAAAUUGUAAUUCAUAAGUUAGAUUUGAAAUACUUGAUUAAAUUCUAAUUUUUUAAUUGAAGUUCAAAUUAAAAUUUAAAAUUAUAUAUUUAAUUUCUAAAUUUAAACUCAUAUUUUAAUUAAAAAGUUGAAAAAAUAAACUUAAUCCAAAUAAAUAUCCAUUCCUUCCGGAUUCAACUUCGAAUCCGGCAUCCUAGGCCGGAUUGAAAAAAGAGGUGAUUAGGGAAUUCCCAUUCCACUCGAGAAUCGGAAUCGGAAUGGAACUCCCGCGUACCAAACACCCACAAAUGGAUUCGCCAAUUCCGAUUCCGAUUACAGGGUGAAAAAGAAGCGAACCAAAUGCAUCCAUAAUAUAUUAUUAUUAUAUAUAAUAUAUGCAACAUAUGCAUUACGAAUAUAUAUAAUAUAUUAUUAUUAUAUAUAAUAUAUUAUAUUAUUUUCGCAUAAUAUAGUAAAUUGUACGUAAUUUAGUGUAAAAAUCAUGCAAAAUAUAUAUUAAUAAUGUAUAUGUUGCACUACUUAUACCGAUAUUGUACUAUUUGGAAGAGUAUUAUUGCAUUAUUUGAGAGGAUGUUGCAUUCUUUCAUCUUAUUAAUUAUUCUUUAUUCUUUUUAUUUUGUCUUAAAUGAGAUUUUUCGCUUCACAAGAAAGGUACAUAUAAUUAUCGCUUAGCAUUUGUCAUUUUCAAGAAAUUUAACACUUUAUUGAAUAUGCAAUAAAAUUUAAUUUUCAAAAAGAAAGAGUGCAACACACAUCUAAAUGAUGCAACAUCCUCUCAUAAUAAUGCAAUAUUUAUACAAAUGGUAUAAAUAUUUGUACAAUAGUGUAAAAUAUGCACCGUUUAUAUAUAUAUUGCAUAAUUUUUAUAAUAUAUUGUAAUAUAUUAUUUUAUUUUCGCGUAAUAUACUAAACUAUACAUAACUUAGUAUGAAAAUCAUACAAAAUAUGUAUUAACAAUACAUAUGUUGCACUAUUUAUACAUAUAUUGCACUAUUUGAAAGAGUAUGUUGCACUAUUUAAGAAAAUGUUGUACUCUUUUAUCUUAAUAAUUAUAUUUUAUUCUUUUAACUUUGUCUUAAAUGAAGAUUUUUGUUUCACAAGAAGGGUACAUAUAAUUAUGGCUUAACAGUUGUCAUUUUUAAAAAAUUUUAUACUUAAUGGCUUAAUAGUUGUAUUUUUUUAGGCAUUUAAAAUAUAUAAUUUUUAUGCAUUUUGAAAGAGGAUAGUUUGAUCAUCUUUCUGAAAAUUCAAUCCGAAUGUGUAAAAUUUAAAAAGACAACUUACUUUUAAAAAAAUUCAAAACUAAUAAAUUUUUUAUACAAAUUGGCCAAAAUAUUCUUAUAAUUUUCGUUUAAUCGACUGUGCCCUUAGAAUGGUAGGGUGAGCAAAUUUCAACCGAGAGUUUGAACACCCAAAAUCAUGAUUACAAUUGUACUUCUUCUGGGAAACUGUUUCGGCAUCAUUCUCUUUUCAAUCUCCAGUUAAGUAGGAGUAUAUAUUUUUCACAAAGAUUUUUGUAUUUUGACUUUUUUUAGAGGCUUAAUUACAUUAUAUUAAAUUAUAUUUUAGUGUUAUUUUUAUUUAUUAUAUUAAUAUUAUUUUUAGGGUUAAUUGCAUACAGGUCCCCGCAAAUAUAGUGAAUUAUAAAUAUAUUUAUGUAAAGUUCAACAUUCAUAAGUUAUUCAUGUAAAAGCCCUAAUAUUUUCAGAUAUAUCCCUCUGAUUUGUUACCGUUAGAGAACCGAUAGAAAACUGUUUAUAUUUCUAAUUUUGCCCUCAUAAAUAUGUCCCUCUAAAAGUUAUAACAGUAUAAUACAAGAGGAGUAAAAAUGUCAAAAAUUAAUUCAGAUAAAGUAUUUAACCUAUGGUUAACUAAACUUUUCUAAUGGCUUCUAACGGCAAGGACAUAUCUGAAAAUAUUAGAACUUUUGCACGGAUAAUUUAUGAAAGUUAAACUUUAUAUAGGGAUAUAUCUACAAUUUUCAAUUUCACAUCUAGGUGUACCAUUUAACAAUGUAUAUUUGUGAGAUCCCUGGUGUUUGACUGUAGAGGCUUGUCGACAGCUCUGGAGAGUGUCGGGACAAGUCUGAGUCGCGUUGGCGUCAAAUAGACGUAAAACGGGCUCCGUGCGACGCGAGGGCGGCUUACCGCGAAGAAUUCUGCAAACUGCAGCAUUCUCUGCUUGCUGUACCGGUACAAGCAGAGUGGCUGUACCGGUACAACCAUCGCGCAGAAGCUUAGCAGCUCUCGGGUUGGCUCUUGUACCGGUACAAGAGUCCGUGUACCGGUACAAGAUGGUAGGUAGAGGGCUAAAUGUGUAAUUUUAUCCCUCGUUUGUAUCACCCCUCACUCCCCUCUAUUUAGCUUCGUGUAGAGAGAGAGAGAGAGGUCUUCUAGCUGCACUCUCCAUCUCUCUCACUCUCCCACCCGAUUGGAAGCAAGGAAGGAGUUACUUGGAGUUUCGUCGCCGACGUCGCGCCGCGGGAUCGUUCGAGCACGUAUUUGACGCCGGGACUUUGCGAGGAGAUCGAGCGAGCGUCAGCCAUUGCGACUACAGCUGUUUGACGUCGCGCGCGAGUGUCGACGCUGUUGAGGUGGUGAUCGGGCUGUCUCUUCUUUAGAUUUUGGGGGGCCAAUAAAAUUUAAACUAUUUUUCUCACUCGGUUAGUACUGUUUUGCUGAAAUUCGGCCUGUCGACUGUGUCUAUUUCAGUCGUUCUCCGCGUAGGAACUCGGAUCGCGUCUGAGGCUUAGUUCGUGUAGAUUCGGGACUUCGAGACGAAUCCACGAAGCCUCACUUGCCAGAUUUGGUAAGUUACCCGGAUCGAUAUCCGUUCCUACUUCAACUGCUGUGAAUUUCUGACUGAAUCGAGGAUCCCUUAAUUGUUUAGCUGUCGUUAGCUCGUGCUCUACGCGGACUUUGGAGUCCCCACGUUGAUGCUAAAGCAAUAGGUUUCUCUCGUUGCGAGGCUUGUUCGGUGCCUGCGAUUUAGCUUUGAAAUGGGUUACACUCGCUUUACUCCUAAAAUCUUAUUGGUCGACAAUGUAUAAAUCUUGAUUUCGGUAAAUUGUGUUAGCUUCAAAUCGAUUAUGGACGAUAUGCUAGAAUUGUGAAAUCUGAAUUUUGGAGGCAUGUCUAUAAAUUAAGUAAUUUAUACAUGUGGACUGGAAUUUGAAUUAGGAGAAAACUGCGAUUUCGACCUGUCCCAGUAUUUAACUACCCUGAUUUAGCUCCACCGAAGAGCCGUAGAAAAUCUGUACUUGUCACAGUUUCUUCGAGACGAAGUCCCCCCCAUGUAGUUUAGAAGUAUUUACACCCUCGUGCUGGUUUCCUCGAGUGGAUUUUACAGGGUCUGUUCAGUUUGUUUCGGACUGUUGGGUGCUGUCAGAAGCUGACGGUGACUCGUAUCUGCGCUUUUUGCGCGUCAGAUUGUGCGAGGGCACGUUACCUGUUUGUUGUUAACCGAUUUGAGUCGAUUACUUGAUUUGGCUGAUUGAGCCCUGAUUGAGCUCGGACAGAGAUACGCGGGCAUACUCGGUUUGUGUAGCGCCCACGAUGCCACUCGAGUCAGGCUGUGUCUUUUGCGUUGGUGUCGCUCAUGGCCAGUUGCGACUUGCUCUCCACGAACCAGUUAGAGUGGAUAGAGCCCGGAUAAGUCGCAACGGGGCAAGGGACGGGUGUUAUCUUCACGCCCGGAGACGGGUAUGCUUACAGUCGCCGAUUUGAUUGGUCAUGAUUGACAUUUCCUAGCAGGUCGUUAGUAUAGAGCAUGAUAGUGAGGGAUGAUAGGUAGAGUGACUUCCUGCUUUUUUCUUCUAUGCUGGCUCCCUUCUGUAAUGGGUGACCGAUGUCGUUUUGGGCGGUACCCACUGAGGACUACUUGUUUUUACAGUAGUUCUCACGCCCAGUUGUUACUUAUGUUUUGCAGAGCCACAGGUGCCGGCUGCUGCAUCUUCCGCCGAUCAGGAUCGAGGCAAGGGCGUUGCGAGCUAGAGCCCUACCCGACAGUCAGAGCUAGAGGCUUUCCCCUACUGCAGGUAGUUGUUGUUUUGGAGUUUAUGUACAUAGUUGUUUAACUCGCCAGUGCGAGUAGUUUUGUAUUUUGGAUGCUAGCUAUAUAUAUGAAACUCAGUUAUUUAGUUGUUCUUGAGCAGCUCUAUGCUACUGUUUGUAGUAUCGUUUUUCUACAGGUACUUUGACGCUUCGUAUACAGGGAAAAUUCCUUUGUAUACGGCGGAUUUGUCGACGUGCCCGGGGAAUGUGAUAUCCGGGGCGUGACAAUAUUAUAACAAAAUUUCAGCCAAAUUUUUAUUGUUUACGUCUUCAAUUUACAGAUUUAUGUUUCAUAGCAGCUAUUAAAAUUAUUUAUUUCAAACUCUUUUAUGUUUCAUAGCAGCUAUUAAAAUUAUUUAUUUCAAACUCUUUUAUGUUUCAUAGCAGCUAUUAAAGUUAUUUAUUACAGAUUUAUGUUUCAUAGCAGCUAUUAGUGGGUUAUGUCCAAAUUACACAUUUUGAAUGAAUAUUUGAUUAUCUUUUCAACCAUGUUUAUGAGGUAGGUUAAAAUAUUUAUAAAUAAUAAGCUAAAUUAUAGAAAAAAUUUUUAUAAGUACCCACUUUUUCACUUUCUCUUCCUAACUUUUAAAAACCUAUAUUUUACACCCUCAACAUUUCAAGUUAUUGUAUUUAACCUCCCUCCGUCAUGAUUCUAUUACUUUUUCGUCCAUUUGUUAUAAUUUAUACCGAAAUUAUUUUUCAAAUGACAAAAAUAUAUUAAAAAAUUAUUUUUUCUUAUAGAAAAAGUAAAGGCAAUUUAGCCAUUUGCUCUCUCCAUUAAUGCCAUACCCUUUUGAAAAUAUUUCUAAAAUUUUAAGAAAGAAAAAUAUAAAUUUUUAAAAAUCAAGAAGGAAUUAAAAGUAAAAAAUAAAUAAAUAUUUAUUAAAGAACUUUAUGUAAUUUUAGUCUAAAUUAUAUUUUAUUGUUAUGCUAGUUUAUAAUUUUGCUCAGCAAAAAAUUUCAUUUCUGAAUUGGGAAAUGUUAUUUAUACCAUAGUUAGUUAAUUCGGAUUCGGCAAAAAUUCGAUACGGAUAUAAUUCGGAUAAAAUUCGUCUUUUAAUUUUUAAAUUCGUUAAAAAAUACGGCAAAAAAACGGAUUCGGUAAUUAUUCGGAUACGUGAUUUAUACGGAUAUUAUACGUUUACCAAUUAAAAAUUCGGAAUCAAAAAUUCGGCUAUAUAAUAAAUAUAUAAUAAUUAAUAUACUACAUAUAUUAUUUUUAUAUUUUUUUAUAUAAAUUAAAUAUAUUCAUGAUUAUAAUAAAUAUAUAUUAAUAAUAUAUAAGUUAUCUAUUUAAAAAUAUUAAUAAAUAAUUAUAAAUUUAUAAAUAAAAAAUUAUAUAAUAAUAUUUCUAUAUAAAAAUAAAAUACUAUAUGAAUAAAUAUUUAUAAAUAAAAUUUUUUAUAUAUAUAUAUAAUGAGCNAUAUAUUAAUAUUAUAUAAUGAUUAAUGAGAGGGAGGUCCACCAUGGACCUCCCUCUCAUGCGGUCCACGAGGCCACAAAGUGGCCUCGUGGACCGCGCAUAUACAAUCCCCAAAAACCCCGAUGGAUUUCACUGUUCCUCUUCUCUUUUUCCGCGGACGGCCUCGGCGAGACCGCAUCUGCCGCCGCGGCUCUACUCUCGGCGCCGGUCAGGGCGGCGGAGGAGGACGACCUGGACAAGUUCGGCGACGAGAGCGGCGACGACACGACCCUCGGCCUCGAAUCCGCGACCACGAGCGCGGCGGCGACCAUGAGCGCAGUGACGACGCGACCCUCGGCCGCAAAUCCGCGACCGCGACGCCGUUUUUUUGGUCAAAUUAUUCGCGAAUCGCGAAUAAUUCGCGAAUAAUUUUUUUUGAGGAAGAAAUCGCGUUUUUUAUCGAACUUUUCGAAAAAAUACGGGACGCACCCGUUUAAUUCGUAUUUUCAAAAAUUCGCGUAUAAUUCGCGUUUUAAUCGCGAAUUAACUAACUAUGAUUUAUACACCUAAUAGCUCAUACGCCCUUUCAUUUAAGAGAAAGUCUACUAUAUUAUACUUACAUCACAUAAUCAAUAAUCACCCAAUCAUAUUUCUCAUUUUGAAAAAAAAAUUAUAAUAAAUAUAUAUUUUUUUAAUAGCCAUGAUUGGAUGGUUGAAACUGUUGAUGCCAAAAUUGAAAUUAACAUACCGACCUAACCCACGUAUGAGUCAAUAAGGACACGUGGUACACCAGAAGUCGGCAAUAAGGCGCCUGAAGGUUUUAGGCGGGAAUGGUUGAGAAGUGGGGCAUAAUUUCCACGAUGGGGCAUAACUUCCAUGAGGAGUGGGCGUAACUUCCACGAUCAUGAUUACAACCACUCCCCCUACUACUUUCAACAAACUAAUAAUGUGGGUUGAUAUUACUAUAAAUAGUAAUUUCGAAGCCUGCAAUAGGGGUCUUUCUCCCCCCUGAACAAGAAGAUCAUCCUAUUUUUCUUGCAAUUUUAUCGCUUUUCUAAGAGCAGUCUAAAUGUAAUCUUUUCUUUUUCACAUUUACUGCUUUCCUAGGAGUAGUUUUUAAGUAUAACCCUGGAGUCUGUCUACCCCACGGGCGUCACUCCGUUGUAAACUACAUAUACGUCCUUGUACUUCCCAUCAGUCAUUCAAUAGAAAAUCAUUUCGGCCCUUCAAGCCGACCAGAGCUCGUGUUGUUUUAGCCAUUCGGCUCUUCUUCCGGCUUCGUUUUCGGCCCGCUCUGUACAUUCAGCUCAUUCCAGCCGAAUCGAACAGAUAGUAGUGGUUUUCGAACCCGGCUGGCUCGAUCCCUCGUCAGUUGAAUCACUUGAUCUGUCGAAGGGUGCAAACUUCGAGGGUCACUAUCCGCAGCCGUUCCUCACCCCGACGCGCUUCCCCAGGAAGAUCUUUGACCGGGUCAAAGGUCGGAAAAUUCAGCUACCAACAAUUUUGGCACGCCCGGUGGGACUCGAUUUUAGGUAAAUCCAUAUUUUUAUUGAAAUUAUGGCUGAUGAAAAUGCUAUGAAUUUGCGCAAUAGGGUUGGUCCUAAAAAUUCUGGGAGUGAUCAACCUAGUGAUUCAGACAAUGGUGGCGAAUGUCAAGCAGCUUUGCCAGUUGAAGGAGAAACUAGUGGACAAUCGGCUUAUCAAGAGUCGAGUCUAACUCAGGUACUCGGCUAGAUGAGCCGAGUCCUGCAAACUUUAGAUCAAAAUAUCCAUCAAAUUACCGCUCGACUAGACGCGGUGCUGGCCUCCAUCACGGCCUAUAAUAAAAAUAUUGUUCGAAUCAGACAAUUAUUUUUCCGAAACGAGCAACCUUAUGGAGGGCAACAAGGGCCCCUAAAUGUGCCGGUGCAACAAAAUCCCGUCACGCCGGCGGUCUCACACGUGCAACCGCAAAUGUCACCUUUUCAGAUUGCUUAAAGGCCGGCGAAUAUCAACACUGGCCCGCAGUCGGAGAUUGCAUCCGGUUUACCUCCUUUACCAGCUUAUCAGUCCCAAAAUACGGGGAUUAAAGCUUGGGGGGCAGGCCCCUAAUGCUAUGUAAGGAGCGAACCCUGCAAUACAGAAUUAUGGAGUUCCUCAAGGGCCGAAUCCCGCUCAAGCACAAGCUCAGCUUCCCAUACAAGGGAAUAACAAUAAGCUGUAUGAUCAGAUUGAGGAAGUCAUCCGGAAUACCUUCGGAGUAGGGGCCAGGCCGGCUAUGCGGCCUGUUUUUCGAUCCCCGUAUCCUGCAAACAUAGAUGUAGAGCAUCCUUAUCUGGCGAAUUGGAAAAAUGCCAAAGUUUGACAAGUUUUCCGGAGAUAAGACCGAAAACAUGGUCGAACAUAUUGCACGAUUCACGGCACAGUGCCGAGAAGCCGCCGCAGACCUAUUUUUGAAACUUAGGUUAUUCAACACUUCGUUAAUCAAGACAGCUUUUAUUUGGUACACGAGUCUACCUGCUAAUUCCGUCCAAGAUUGGGACGAAUUAGAAGAAAAUUUUCAUGAGCAGUUUUACAGAUCAGAACCAGAAUUGUCGUUAGCUGAUCUAGCCCAAUUUAAACAAAGAGCAGGCGAAUCAGUUGAAGAAUAUUUAAACCGAUUCAAGACGGCCAGAAGUCGAUGCUUUGUCAGAAUGUCGGAAUCAGAGUUCGCCAAAAUGGCGUUAAAUGGUCUGCAUUUUAAGAUAAAAUACCAUUUUAAGAUAAGUAUUUUUCUAACCUAUUUGACCUAGGUGUUCGGGUUGCCCAAUAUGAACAAUUUCGGAAGAAAAGUGAGGACGAUCGGCUGCAAUGGAGCCGAUACAAAAAUCAAAGCAAAGGCAAGGAAAAAUCUUUGAUAGAAGAACAGUCGGUUCAAGAAGAGCAAAGCCAAUCGAGUGAAAGUGAAGAAUCGGCUAAUGAAGCCGAGGUAUAUGCGGCUGGUAAAGAGCAACUUUCUUCAAAGCGAAAUUCUUGAUAGAAGAACAUUCGGUUCAAGAAGAGCCGAACCAAUUGAAUAAAAGUAAAGAAUCGACUGAUGAAGCCGAGAUAUAAUCACUUUCUUCAAGAAGAAAUUCUUGAUAGAAAAACAUUCAGUUCAGAAAAAGCCGAACCAAUCGAAUAAAAGUAAAGAAUCGGCUGAUGAAGCUGAGAUAUAUGUGGCUGGGAUGAUAAAGCGUCGUUUUCUUAAAGCCGACCAAGACCAGCGAAACUAAAGCUUGGGUCUCGGCUGUGUCAUUUUGAGCAGUCGAUUUUGCACCAAUAGUCAUCCGAAUGUUUAUUCGAAAGACUAUUGGGGGGGCAUUGUUAAUGCCAAAAUUAAAAUUAACAUGCCGACCUAACCCAUAUAUGAGCUAAUAAGGACACAUGGUACACCAGGAGUCGGCAAUAAGGCGCUUGAAGGUUUUAGGCGAAAACGGUUGAGAAGUGGGGCAUAACUUCCACGAUGGGGUGUAACUUUCAUGAGGAGUGGGCGUAACUUCCACGAUCAUGGUUACAACCACUCCCCCCACUACUUUCAACGAACCAAUAAUGUGGAUUGAUAUUACUAUAAAUAGUAAUUUCGAAGCCUGCAAUAGGGGUCUUUCUCCCCUCUGAACAAGAAGACCACCCUAUUUUCCUUAUAAUUUUAUCGCUUUUCUAGGAGUAGUCUAAAUGUAAUCUUUUUUUUUUCGCAUUUACUGCUUUCCUAGGAGUAGUUUUUAAGUAGAACCCUGGAGUCUGUCUGCCCCACGGGCAUCACUCCGUUGUAAACUACAUAUCCAUCAUUGUACUUCUCAUCAGUCAAUCAAUAGAAAGUCAUUUCGGCUCUUCAAGCCGACCAGAGCUCGUAUUGUUUUAGCCAUUCGGCUCUUCUUCCGGCUUCGUUUCCGGCCUGCUCUGUACAUUCGGCUCAUUCCGGCCGAACCGAACAGAUAGCAGUGGUUUUCGAACCCGGCUGGCUCGAUCCCUUGUCAGCCGAAUCGCUUGAUCUGUCGAAGGGCGCAAACUUCGAGGGUCACUAUCCGCAGCCGUUCCUCACCCCGACGCGCUUUCCGAGAAAGAUCUUUGACCGGGUCAAGGAUCAAAAAAUUCGGCUACCAACAGAAACCAAGAGAACAUAUCUCAUUAGGUAGAAAUAUCCCCUCAGCAAUAUAACUGGUACAUUUUAUUUAAACAUUUUCUCUAUUUAAGGACGUAGACAACUCCUUUGAAAUUUUAAUAUUAAAAAAAUAAAAAAAUUGAUAAGGCUUAUAAAAGAAGAAGAUAAGUCUAUGAAUUGAAAAGACAUAAAAUUGAUAAUUUUUUCAUCUAUUAUCAAAUGCACAAAUAGCGUUACUUUUUCUAAGUUGGAAUACAAACGAGACAAAUGAAUUUAAUGACAGGACAGGACAGAACCCCAACCUUUCGUCGGAUAAAAAUUUUGUAGGCACUGCCCCCAAACUAAUAGUUUGAGGACAGUGCGGAUGGGCACCACGGGGCCCAUCCGAUGGCCACCCUUCUUCCUCUUCCUCUACUUUCUCUCUCUCUCUCUAAAAAUACAAGGCAACUCUUUUUUUCUCUUUCAUGGGCAGUCGUUGGAUGGGCCAUAUGGCGUCCAUCCACACAGUCCCCAAACUAAUAAUUUGGGGACAGUGUCCAUAAAAUUUUUGUCCCCUUUCGUCCCGUCUUUGUCUUUCUGAUAAAUUCAAAUUUAUUUUUUUUUUUUCCUUCACUUAUCAUUCCAUUUAAAACAGGGGGGGAGGAAAGAAAAUUUUUGACGAAUUUUUAGUAAAAAUUAAAAAAUAAAAAUAAGAGAAGGAAAGAAAUUCUUACUUUCAGCCUAAGCAGAUGGACAGAUAUAUUUUUAUUAUUAUUAUUGGUAAGCCCUACUUAUCGUCCUAUUUGAGAUGGAUUGGUGGAAAGAUCCCUUAAUCCGAAUCUAUUUGCAUACCUACAUAGCCAAAUAUUUUUAUACAAAUUGCCAUUUAUUAUUUUUUUUUAAAUAUAUAUGCGCUGUUUGGUCGCGUGCAUCUAAAAUAUUCAUUAUGAAAUGAAAAAUAAAAAAUAAAAAAAUUGUAUUUACAUAUGUUCCAAGUUUCUCGGAAACAUCUGAAUAACAAUUAUACUCGAAUUUUUCUUCUUGAAAAAUCCUUACUACCGCUACAGGAAGCAAAAUUAUAGACCUAAAAAUCAAGCGAAAAAAAAAAAAAAAACAUCAACUUAUAACACUUCGUAUCUGUAACAUAUAUACAAUUGUUGCGCUCUUCCCUCUGAAUAGUAAAAACAAUAUAUAUAUGUAUUGGGAUCCUUAAUUUUCACAAGAUGAUGAUUUAACCUACUCCUCGCUAUCAUUUUAAGAUCAACGUAUUGCAUGUACUUGAGAAAUAGCUCAUUAAACCUCUACAACUGUAUCAUUACUGAGCCCUAUUCCCUUCUCCGCAGCACAACAUCAACAACAACCAAAAGAGAGAGAGAGAAAAACAUACAGAAAAUAUUAAUUGAACUAUAAAUAAUUUUUGAGUUAGCUAUCCAAUCUUUCAAAAUUUAAUUCUAGCUAUGCAAUUUUCCAAUUCAUUCGAUUUGAAUCAAUUUUCGAUACUCCAACUUCGAUUAUCCUUAUAAAUAUUAUAUUUCAAACUAUAAAUUUAAUUAAAGUAGUUAGCUUAAAAACUUUCAAAAACUGCGAUCGAAAUUUCAGAAAGAUGGGAUGGAUAGCGGACUCAAAAUACUGUUUAUAGUUCAAUAACUUCUGUACAAUUAAUUAUAACAAAAAGGAGGAAAGAAAAAAUAUAUAUAGAUUACUUUUGGUCAGCGUCCCAGCUGCAACUCUCGUCGUCUUCGGGAGGAAUCUUGUUGAGGUCGAGCCUUUGCUGCCCGCCCUCGUUCCUUCCCUGGGCUGAAGCGGCAGCCGCAGCCGCACGGCGGCAGCCCGCAGGGCGUCGACCCUGGCGCCGACCUCAGCGGCCUCCUUCGGAUGACGUCCGCGGCGGAGUGUGGUGGUGGUGGGGGUGGUGGGUGGUAUUGAGAAGAGCGGAGGGGGUGGGGUGGGGGUGGUGGGGAGAGGAGGGGGUCGUCGCUCGUCGACGGUGGGCGGCGUCGGGAAGUUGAGCUUGGCGGAACGGCCGCGGAGGAAGAGGACGGCGGUGUCGUACGCGGGCGGCGGCUCGGCUGGGGCUAGGAAAGCGAGCAGAUCCGGCUGCGCUUGUUCGGCUCCCGGAUCUCCGCCACCCACUUCCCCCACUUUCGCAUCCGUAUCCCCCUGUACGUCCUCUCCGAUCGCUUCAUCCUCAUCCACCUACUCCUCCUCCGAAUCCAAAAAAAAAAAACAAAAUUUGUUUUUUUUUUUUUUUGGGAUAUUUUGGGGAUGAAGGAGAGAAUAAUUGUAUUAUUCUUAUAUAUAUAUAUAUAUAUAAUUGGGUAAUUUUAUUUUUCUAAUAUGAGGGUCUGAAUAUUAUUUUAUAUAUAUAUAGAGAGAGAGAGGAGAAGGUGAGUGGGAGGAAAAAGGAAGUCGGUCAGCAGUAGCUGCUGCUGUUGUGCUGCUUCCGAGCUUAUCCGAAUUAUUAUGCUGAAUGAAUUUGGAGGCGUUAAUUGUUGCUUGAGCUCCGUCCACCGUAUCAGCUGUGAACCGUCGUUUCAUGAUAGUAAUUAUUAUAAGUACAGACCAUUAUUAAUUAUCAUGGUGUCUUUCCUUCGGUUUUGUUUACUUUUAAUUUUUGAAGUCUUCAACAUAUAUAAAGGCACGAAAUUUAAUUUGACAUAAAAUAAAUUGAAUGAGAAACAGACUUAAAAUGAGUAAACAUCGAUUAUUAUUUUUGUAAAAAAGCAACUCGAUUAAAAUAAGAACUAGGCUAGAAUAUUACUAAUAAUACCGAGUCAUUUGUACUAUUAAGUUUUCAAUCUUUAGAUGAAGAGACGUACGGUCAGAAUGAUAGCGGUCAUCUAGGAUUGAAUGAGUGAUUGGUUGAAAAAUAUGAUCUAGCGAAUAGAAAUAAUUUAAAAAGCAGAUAUAACGGUAGAAAUUUUGAUAGCACUGAGUAUUUGGUACUAUUAAUAGCAUUGUGUAUAGAAAUAUACAGUAUCUUCUCCAUAGCAACAAGAAAAAAAUAAUAAUAAUAAUAAUAAUGAGAGAUGUUUUUGGGUGGUUCAUAGAUGACAUGGUGGAUCAUUUCCAAGCAAAAGGCGAGCACAGAAAGGGAGAACUAGGGCUCCUCCAGCACGGCCGACAAAGCAAACCCAAGGAAACGAACGAUACACGCACCGAGAUUAUUGACCCAAAUCAUGCGGGCCCCACUUUUGGUACUUGGGGGUGCAUUUAUGGGUUUACUUUGUGAUACGGGUUCGGGAGGAAAGGAAUUAUUAUUAUAAUUUUUUUAUUUUUUUAUUGAUUUUACUUUUGUCGCGACGUGGAGAGGGCAGGGGGAGGAGGAGGACACGUGGCGUACGCGACGCGGACGUUUUGGGGGGGAGGCUGAGUCGCGAUCUUGUUGGUCGCGUAACGAAAUAGGGCGCGCGCCCCGAGGGCGGCGGGGGGGGCGGCGGACGGUCGGAUGGGCGGGGGCCCCCGCGGGGUUCGGUGAGGGCGAGAUCGGACGGCUGCGAGCGACCGGAGGGGUCGGUAAUGAUGAGUAUCAUAAUAAUUGAAAUUUUGUUUUUUUGUGGACAUUGUACGCCACGUCAUCACUCCACCCUCCCUUUCUUUUCUUUUCUUUUCUUUUUUACGUUUCUUUGUGCGGUUAUUAAAAAAGAAAAAAAAAAAAAAACUAAACUUCAAAUACCACCCCGUAAUAUCUCGUAUUUUAAAAUUUUAGUAUUCUAUAAUUUAAAGUGUAUUAUUUUGGUAUCUUAUGAUUUACUUUUUUUUCUCUUCUUUAGCAUCUUAAUUAACUCUUCCUUAAAUUAUAUAUAAAAAUACUUCAGAUACCGCACCUAUAAUUUAUUAAAUAUUCACUUUAGUAUCAUGUGAUUAUCAAAAUUUUAUUUUAGUACUCGGUAGUUUAAACUUUAUCACUAAUUUACUGAAAAAUUAACUGGGCAAAUAAUGGAAAGAAAAAAAAUAAAAUCUCAGAAUACUAAAAUGAUACAUUUUAAAUCAUAGGAUAUAAAAGUGAAAAAAUACGAAACUAUAUGGAUAAUAUUUGAAUUUUUUUUUGUCUUAAGAAAACCUUUACAGAAUGCAAAAAAAUUGUCCUCUCAUUUUUUCCUCAAAAUUAGGUGUUUGGUUAAUAAAAAAAACAAAUAUUUUUUCAUGGAUAACAUUUUUUCAUAAUUAUUAUGUUUUAUAAUAAUAAAUUUAGAAAACAUAAAAUCUGCAAAAAAAAAAUAAUAGAAAAUACUAUUUUUGUAUAAAACCAAAUAGAAAACGAAAGUUGGAAAAUUAUUUUUUACGAAAUUUUUCGGAAAAACAAACAAAUGAAAACGAAAAUUUGACGACGCGGCGAAACACAGCCCACAAGUCUAUACCGACGUGGCUCAUAUUAUAUUAUUAUUAUUAUAACAGAGAGCUACAAAUUUGCUUAAUCAUUAGGGGGCAAAUUGAAAUUUACCUUUUUUUUAUUUUAUUUAAACUAUGAGCACCGGCUCACACAACCUUUGGAUUGAAUCACUCUCGUCCAUUGAAUUUUAGUUUUUUUCGUAGUUAGAUAAAUUAGAAUUAUUUAUACGAAAUUUUCUAAAAUUUCAAAUAAUAUGAAAAAAAAUAUUUUUAAUAUUUAUCACAUUUUUAAGAAUAUUAUGUUAAACUUGACGGUAGGUAUCUGAGAUUCUAAAUUUGAAUCCUAACUACUUUAUAUUUUUAGAUAAAUUUAUUUAUUAAAAUUUGAACUUGCUUUUUUUUUCUCUUUAAAAAAAAAAGAAUGUCACAUUGAGAGUUUUAACUUUCAUAGUCUUUUGCAAUUUUAUUCAUCUAAUCAUCGUAUUCACAUCCCUAAUUACCAUUGAACUUUUCUUUACCACCAUACUCUAUAUAAUUAUAAUCUUUAUGGACAAUCAAAUUAAAAGAAUAAAAUUCAAUCAUUUUAAAUUCUACAAAAAAAAAAAAUGUCACCUUAUACAGAAGCAACAAGUUAAGUAUCCCUUUGAAUUUUCUACAGUUUGUUUCAAAUUAAUUUUUCUAUAAUUAACUCUACAUUUAUUUCUACAAAUUGACUAUUCCACCAAUAAAUUCUUCUAUUAUGUUUAAUAUUAUAUUUAAUAUUAAUUAUCAGUUCUAAUAUUUUUAUUUUAGCUUUUUCUGCGUGAACUAUAAACUUAUUAACUAACUUAGAAUAGUUUCAAUUUAUACAUAUAUAAAUUCAUACAUUUUAAAGCUUCAGAAAAAUAUAUUUGAUAAUUAAUAAGUAUAAAUUAUCACGAGGGUAUUGGGUAAAAGAUUUCACACUUUAUUAUUCUUCAGGAUAAAUAUUUAUAUACAUAUUAGAGAACAUUCUAGAGACUAUUUUACAAGAAAAUAAUAAAAUAUAUGGUAAAUAAUUAUCAGCUGGAAAUGUUUCCUUCUAUAUGAUGAUUCAAUCAAUUCCUUAUAAAUGGGGCUGAUUUGAAAAACUUCUUUCUAUAGCAUUGGUGUCUUUAUUUUCUGAUUUUGAGGAUGAUUGAAAUUUGUUUUCUUCUAUAACUUUGUUUCCUUCUAUACGCCCCCGCAAGAUGGCGGAUCCGUCAGAUACGCCCAUCUUGGACCGUAGAAGCUGAAACCGAUUGGCAGAGAGUGGCUUGGUGAGUGCAUCGGCUAGUUGAUCAAAC